Molecule: long non-coding RNA, 45603 nt
Filed under: Spirodela polyrhiza (greater duckweed)
Lineage: Eukaryota; Viridiplantae; Streptophyta; Magnoliopsida; Alismatales; Araceae
Description: long non-coding RNA (SPOL_LNC001157)
Source: RNAcentral
CAUUGAUAAGUUCGUUUUUCAGGGAAAUAUUGGAGCAGCUUAUUCAAUCUACGAUAAUGCAAUUCAAAUGCUUAAAGAUAAGGAGGAUCUGCACGUUUUUUGUCUUCUCCAUCUGCACUUUGCCAGAUUUGCUUACUUGGUGGGGACUUUAGUACAGUUUGAGAGAAAUUAUCUUCUCACGUUAUAUACUUGCACACUACUAAAAUGCCUGUGACAUAACCACGUUACAAGACUGAAGAAUGGACUUUAUUCUUGACAUGGAUAGUUAUUUUAUACUGGGGCUCAUAAAACGCCGUAGUACAUUUUUCAUUUUCUUUCUUGAAUAAUUAAAACUGAUUUCUAAGUAUAUUGGUUGUUUCUGUUUACUUUCUACGUGAACAUCAAGCUCGCGUUAAAAUGAGUGCAACUGAACCUAAUGUCUUGAUAAUCUAAAUUUAAUAAUGAUUUCAUUGGACAGCUCAGAAUGUGCCGACUUGCAAUAGGUUUAGGUGUUAAACAACAUCUGUUGUUUAUAUAUAUCAUGUCUAUGGUAUGAUUCGUUUGUGUCGAACAUUGUCUCAAAGGAUUUCGCUGUAUUUCCUCGGUUUGAAGAUGAAUCAAAAGGUGGAAUCAGAUUGCGACUUUGAUAUUCGUUCUUUGGAUGAGGACUUUGGAUGAAUUUUAUGGUAUUUUACUCAAUUCAAGGAGAUUUCUUCUCCAGGUGCAUUGUAUCGUUUGUUCAGGCUUGCCAUACUGAAAAUAAUAAGCAUAUGUUCUCUCCACCUUAUUUACAUUUCGUUGGUAUUUCUGUAGUCUCCUUUUGGCAUGGUCUUUUGAUGGCUUAUUCUUUCAUAAUAAAGUGAAUUUUCCCUGCCUUAAUAGCCUAGGGCCACUCUUGAAUUUUUCUAAGUCCUUCGUGAAAGGGAAACUUUCUAUUUUUUUUGGCGUUUUCCUUAGGGAAACUGUCUGUUUAUUUGAGUCUGUCAGUCAGGUCUCCAAUAACAAAAAGGGAGUCUCGUCUUCAUUGUAAACACUUUUGAAUGAAUGUGGCUUAUGGGCCUAUAUCCUGAAUGAUUAACUGGGAUACUUAUCGGAGACAGUGUGAGGUUAUGCUCUAGUUGAUUCAGUAAUAACAAUUCUACAAUGAAGGAUACUCUUAUUAAGAAUUUUCUUGAGAGAGAACGGUAUUCCAUUUCAUUAGGAUUAUCCGUCAGCUUAAAAAUAUAUUUUCAUUUUACCUUUAGUUCAUGAACGUGUCUGGAAUUGUUCCCAGCUUACUUUAGCACCGCUGAAUAUUUAUAAUAAAAUGAAUUUAAUUGUGUAAACGUUCAGGGAAUGUAAAUACUUUGAAAGAUGAUUCAAUUAAGAGAAAUAAAGAUCCAUUGUCAACAUGGUAUCAGAGAAAUCUGUUGUCAGCAUUGUCAGCAUUGUCAGCAUGGUAUCAAUUCUCUGUGAAUAAGCGUGAUCCCAAUUAAUCGAAAAGAAUGCUUUCAAUAAGAGUAAUCUGUUGUAUUUGGUGCACAAAAUUUAGUUCGAGUUCUCAAUAGGUUUGGAUCAUUAAUUGCUUUGUUCCUGCUUCGGAAUUUCAUGACAAUAAUGUACAAGGAGACAGUUGGCAAUUGGGAAAUAGUUGUCAUACUCAUUAUCCUGAUCAUCUUUGGACUGAAUUCUACUUAUAUGUCUAUUGCUUUUCUGACCUAGAGUUCCACAUAAUUAUUCUGCUUGAUUUGUCCUGGCUAAAAAUAAAACUUAAUAAAAACAGAAAUCAGUUCAAAAUAUUUAUGUUAUCUGAAGUCCAUUCACGUCGUCAAUUACCGUGUACAUUCACGUUGACCAAUUGAAAGUGAUCAAUCUCAAAGCUUCCUGAGGAAAAAAUAUGAUAGUAAAAUUAUAUAUCCACGGAUGAUUCAUUUUUUUGUUACUACCGGUAUGUUCAAUAGAAUUAAUUUUCGAUUUUUCUCAUGCCUAUUAUCUUUCAGGUAACUGGUGAAUUAGGUGCUGCCAGAGAGGUUUUUAUCAAAGGGAUAUCAAGGGCACCUCACUGCAAAUCACUUUUUGAGGUUAUAUCAUUGAUCUCUUUUUGUGUCAAUUAAAUUCGAUUCCUGGCCCCCGUUUCUCUCGUCAACAAACGUUUUUCUCCAAAGGAUUUAACAGUCUGGUAUCAAAAGCAGGGGUGUUAUGAAAUGCAUGCUGUUCAAUAGAAGGCUACUUUAAAGUAUUUUGAAGUGUAUAUAUUUAAUUAAAAAAUUGUAUGUAAAAUCUGCAUUUCGAAUUUUUUUAAUGGUUAUAUUUUUUCAAAAAUCAUAUAUUAAAUUACCGCAGUUAUGCUUUUAAACUUUUAGUUUGAAUUUUCCUUGUUCUCAAAAUAUUAAGUCCCUAAGAAAUUACAUGUGUGUGCUUGUUAAAGAAGGAAUAGCCAUGCUAAUUGCAAGAGGGGCAAGGACGAAGAAGAGGAAGGAAAGGAAGUUAAACGAAAAACGAUCAAAACAUGACAAAACAGCAAAAGGGCACCUUUACGAAUCAUAUUUUUUGCCCUUUUAAGGGCAGUCAGUUCCUAUGUUUCUGUUCUUAUUAUAUGAUUGAUUAUUCUGUUAUGAUCUUUCUCCAGCAUUUAAUUUUUCUCCGAAGUACUUUGACUGGCAACUAGAUUAGGAAAUCUACAGCUUUACGGUUCUUAAAGUCAUAGUUACAUGAAUUUUUGGUGCUCUCUGCUCGUAAUCGGGCCAUCAAGUUCUUUACUAUUUUUUUACUUGUACAGGGAUUAAUUACAUUUAUGUCUAUCCAUGGGGGGACAGGAGAAAUUGGUUAUGUAGAUUCUAUUGUGGAACGUGCCAUAGUUCCAGAAUCAGGUGUGUCACUUGCAUUAAGCCUUACCGACAGAAGGGACGUGUCUAAUUUGUUUUUGCAGGUAUGCCAUCCUAUGCCAUUUGUAUUAUUCUGCCCUUUCUGUUUCAAGGAAAAUAGCCACUUCCCAUAAUACCUCACUAAAAAUGAAUCGUUUGCUGGGGUGGGGCCAUAUAAAGUAAGCAAAGCAGAGCUUUCUUCUUCCAGUUUCCAACGCACCAUGUGACGCUAGGGGUACUUAUAAUGCCAGAUAUCUCUGCAAUAUUUUUCAGUCGAUUUUGGAUUACCUAGUGAAGGUUUGAUUAAAAUCUUUGCGCCGCAGUGUCACUAAACAUGAAUUCUCAGAGGAUGCAGCAGCCAUUAAGACUUUCGUUUAAGAAUUUAGGGUUUUGUGAUUAAGAUUUGGGCUUUUCAAAGUUGAUGCUGGAUUUGCCGUGGAUCUGUCCUAUGAAGUUAAUGAUCCACUGUUAGACAGUUUCUACAGAAUUCAUCUCAAUUGAUAAAGCUGUGCUAGUUGGGCUAGUGAUUCUAUUUCUGUGCAUCUUGGAAUCAUUUUACUUUUUAUGAGGGCGUCAUCUUCUCCAGUACAGAAACUAUAGUGUGAUUUGUGGGUCAGCAAAAUAUUGCACAGCGAAUAACGUUGCACAGUGACCAACCUUAGGCCGGUAUGGGCACGCAGAAAUGGAGGGGCUGUUGAUCUGAUGGCAUGAUAUUAUAGUUACCCGCCUCGGCCUUAAGCUUCAUAAUUGAUGUUGAUGUGUGCCAUAUAUACAUGGGUUUAUUAUUAUUAUUAUUAUUAUUAGUUCACCCUUUAUCACAGGAUCUGAUUCACUGACAUUCAGCCUUGUGGGUAGCGAAUCGCCGUCAUUGUCCAGGUGACUAUGUGUAGAUAUUUUAGUGUAAUUUUCUCAUAGAGAGUUAUUUUCCAAACAGUUUGUGGACCUUUGUGGGACGAUCCACGAGAUCAGAAGGGCCUGGGCUCGACACCUGAAGCUGUUUCCACCUGCACAAGAAGCUGCUCCACUCGGUCGCCGUGCCGACGGUCCUGAGCUUUUGGAGAAGACCAAGGAGCUGACUGGUGCAGGAGACCCCGAUCUUAAGCCUGGGACAGGUCAUGCAGAUAGAGAGGCAUCAACUGAAGAAGAUGAUGCCCGCUCUUCAAAGAGAAAUCUUCUCCUCCUGCAGGAGGGGCCCGCUGCACCGGCCACCAAGUCUCAUCCAGCCGUCGCUGGUGACAGUACAGAGGGGAGCCCAGACCGUUCGCGGCUCCCCAGUGAAGAAGAGGAGCAGGCUAAUCGUUUUCAGGCUAUUCGGCUGCCUGCAGGCGCCGCUGUGCUGCAACAGGAAGCUCAUUCCUUCUCUUCUCUUGGUCCUGCUGCUUGCUCCGUACGCGGCGGAGGGGAGCGAACCCCACCGCUGCCGGGCUGCAAGACUCAGGACGAUCUAAGACCAUCUCUGGAGAGCCUUUCCAUAUGUCUUCCUGAUGAAGGUCAGGAAUCCAGCCCGAGCUCUCCUCGCAGAGGCCAUGGAGCUCCUCAGCCCCCCUGUGGGGAGAGCGGGCGCGAUGUUUGCAGUGACAGUGAGGCUAAAACAGCCCAACACAGGGCAUCUACAAUGCCAGCUACACCGAACAGUCGCACGCCGGAGCAAAAUCUUCGCCAAGAAAAAGUAAACGCCUUUGACAUAAGCCAACUGCCUGCAGAAGAGGCCGCUGAUCCCAAAUAUCCUCGGACCUCUGAAUGGCACUAUGGCGGGCAGCCCUCUGAGCUUCAACCCAGCUUAUCUGGAUAUGCCCAAACUCCACAGCAUCAGCAAUGGCAGGUUCCUAUGCAAUUUCAGUAUCUUCCGUACUCUGGAUUUAAUCCACAAGCUCCCCCACCUCAGGCAUACGCGUAUCAGCCACAGUUUUGGCAGCCAAAUAUCCAAAUGCCCGGCCAGAUUCAGGGCCAGUAUCAGAUGACUGCGGGCCAGGGAUUACCUCCCUGGCCCAUGUUCUGGCAAGCACAGAGUCUACCACAGAGCGGUGGAGAUGGAAGUCAGCAUCAAAUAUAUCAAUAUCAUUUGCAGGAUGGCCACGCUAUCUCCCCUGAGUUCUGGCAUUACUACCAGCAGCAGCUGUAUUAUAUGCAGCAUCUGCAGCAAGGUAGCAUCCAGGUGCAGCAGAAGCAGGAGCCUGGCCCGCAGCAGAAAAACGCUCCGUUGCAGCAUGAUCCUCUGCGACAGCAACAACAAGAGGAGCAACAUCAAGAGCAGCAUCUUCAGCUGAACAUCCUUCAGCUGCGGCAUCUACAAAAAAAAAUGGAAAUGGAUCAUUUGCAGUGGCAGGGCCAGCAACAGGAGCUUCGCCAAGCCCAGGAUUCGCAUUUGCAGCAUCAUUCACAGCCACGAUGCCAACCAGACGACUCACCUGAGUCUUCACCCACGCAGGAUCCUCCAAAAACACGACAAGACCAGCUAGAGCAGUAUGUGCAGCACCAAUCCAUUCAGCAGAAGGAUCGGAUGAUCCUGAGCCGCCAGGAACAUCAACAGCAGAUGUACUUGCCACAGCUGCAACAACAACUGCAGAAGCAGGAGAUCGGGACCUUGCGGGAUGCUAAGACCUCGAGAGAGAGUUACAAUUUAGAGGUAUCUAUCACCUGUCUUGUCUUCGUGCUAUAUUGCAGCCGAGUCUUGGAAUCAGUUUCGAAAAUUUUGACCUAAUUCCCGACGUAAAAAUCUUCUUAGGAUAUUGAAUGCUCUCUUCUCCUGAUAUAAUGUCCUAGCUUCUUCGAUUGAGUAUCAGCUGUAUGCUUCUGUGAAUUCAAAAAAGAUUACAUCACCGGCGCAUGAAUAGAAACUAAUUGGGCCAUGUUGCUCUUCAGAUUCAAGCACCCACUCGAGUUGCCGAAGAAGACGGCGCUGUUCAUCCAAUACCUGAGCCGCCGAAUGCCCCGAUCCAAUGACCCGCAGGUGGGAGAGCAGCUUUGCAUUGGCUUCAUUUGUUACAGUGAGGUCCGCAUCCGGCCUUCGUUGCCCAAGUUCAGACCUCUGGUCCGCGGAUCGUCCGUCAUCCAGCAGAUAACUCGCGAUUUGAAGGCCAUUCUGAAUCUGGCAGAAGCAGCGUCGCCGUUCGAAGCCGCUGAAGCAAUCUCCAAGCCCGCGCCGAGGAAGAGCAGCCGAGCUUCUCCGAGAAAGGGGGCUCAUCGGGCUUCGUCUUCUGGCAGAGCUCCUCCCGAGUUCCCUCUUUCUUUUACUCGGACGACUGAACUGGACCCCGCGGCCCUCAAAUCCCCUAUAAUUGUUGGAUCGACCCCCCUCGCGGGGAUGGAAACGCAAUGAUCUUCGAUGCGAGGGGCUUUCCUGCAAGGAAGACCCGAAGAGCGACCCGGAUGGGAAUAGUCAACGCUCGCAGGGCCCCCGAUUAUCUCUCUCCGCGCCCCCCCCUUUGACUAUCUCCACACACUCCGAGGAACGGCGCCUCCCGGCGGAAUCCUGCGGCAGAUUCUCUCCCUCCCUACUCCGGUCCGGCCCGUUGAAGAAGAGGAAGGGUCGUCCCCAUCGAUCCCCACUCAGCAGAUCCGAAUAUGCCGAGGAAUGCUCUCUCUCUCUCUCUCUCGCGCGCGCGCGCGCGCGCUCGCUCGCUCGCUAGCACUGCGUCGGCGAGUCGACCCCGUCCUCCGGCCGGCUGCACAUUGAACACCCGCGGCAUAUCCCCGGGCAUAUUCCCGGGGGAGCCCCAGCCGGUCCUGCUGCUGCUCCUCCCCCCAACUUGCUCUUUGAAGACGACGCCGUGCCGUACUGUGCCGUGGGAGCAGCCAAUGCGGGGGGGGGGGAGGGCCAUUUAGGAUCGAUCCCCUCCUCUCUGACGACGGCGGCGCCCUCGUCCGAGCUCGCCUAGGGCGCGGGGUUCUUCCGGCUGGCUGGUCGAGGCGGCGGAGGAUGAAGUUCGGGAAGCGGCUAAAGCGGCAGAUCGAGGAGACGCUGCCGGGGUGGCGGGACAUGUUCCUCUCGUACAAGGAUCUGAAGAGGCAGGUCCGCCUCAUCUCCUCCGACGCGCCGGGGAGGGCGUUUUCAUCGCCGCCGGGGAGGGCGGCGGUGUUGGAGUUCGUCCGCAUGCUGAAUGCCGAGGUGCACAAGCUCAACGUCUUCUUCAUCGAGCAGGAGGAGGACUUCGUCAUCCGCCACAAGGUAGGGGAGGAGAAGAGAUUGCUGGACGGCGGCCGCGGUGCUUCCUUCUCCUGAUCCGGAUCGGUGGUCUCUCCGCGCAGGAGCUGAGAGACAGGAUACGCGCCGCGGAGGAGACGGUGGGGCCUGGGAGCGCACGGCCGUCGGCGGCGGAGUACGCGGCGGAGAUGGGGAGGAUCAGGAGGGGCCUCGUCGACCUCCACGGGGAGAUGGUUCUGCUCGUGAACUACAGCAACGUCAACUACACGGGUCCUCUUCCUCUCUGAUCCUCGUCAACAUAUCUCAGAUCCUUUAGAUUCUUUCCUCGCUCGUUCUCCAAGUUUUUCUAGCAGAAUUGGCAAUUAUCGUCGGCGAUGAUGAGGAAUCAAUCGAAUCUACCCUGGCCGCGACAGGGCUGGCGAAGAUCCUGAAGAAGUACGACAAGCGGACCGGGGAUCUGCUGAGGCUCCCGUUCAUCGAGAAGGUGCUGACGCAGCCCUUCUUCACCACGGACCUCAUUUCGAAGCUGGUGAAGGACUGCGAGAGCACCAUGGACUCGGUGCUCCCUUCCCCGCCGCAGAAGAACCUGGAGGGGAGGGAGCGCAGAGCCAGAGCAGUGGCCCUCCCGCAUCGGCGGCCCGCCGGAGUAUCGUCAGGAACACGGUCGCCGCCCUCGUGACGAUGCAGGAGCUGCGGCGAGGGAGCUCCACUUACGGGCACUUCUCCCUCCCCCCGCUGAGCUUCCCCGAGACAGAUCUGCUGCAGGCCCUUCAGCUCCCAUCGCUCAUCUCCAUUCAGUGAGUGAGAUCCAUGAAGAAGCGACCCAUUUUAGCAGACACCCCCCCCCCCCUUCUGGUUCCAGACGACGGGGCGUGACGGAGGAAAAUCAGGGUCGCCCGGAGAAAGGAGAGGCCUUGUUAUCGACAGUCAGUAGUUCUUCUUUCGACGUGCUCGUCGCGGGAUGGGGGCUCUGAAUCGCCUCCCCCUUUGCUCCCCAUUAACGCGCUGGUUACUGGAAGAAGAAGACCUCCCUCGGUUGCUGGUAGCCGUGUUGCAACUAAUUAAAUGAAUAUUAUUUUUAUUCCGAUAUCUUUCAAAUCUAGAUAUUUUCCGAAUAUUUUCAAAUCUAGAUAUCUUUCCUCCAUUUUAUUAAAACUUGUUUAUUUUUUAACUGGAAGAUGGGUUUUUUUUAUUCUGCGAGAUAAGCGCCCACUUUUUAUACUUUCUUUGAUUGUGAGCCUUCACGAGUACUGGUGGCUGGCGCUUGAGAACCUCCAACUUGACAUGGUCAACAGUCAAGGUUAGGCGCGUGCAUGGAUGAAACCACAAAAACGGGUCCAAACUAGAUGACGUUCGUCCACCUGUCGCUUCCACAUACGCGUAUGGGUAAGUUGACCCAAGAGAGAGAGAGAUGGUGACGUCACUUCGAAGUUGAGUAGGCUGCAAGUCAUAGCAUCCACAAAAGGUAGCUACUCAAUAAAGGUCGGAAUCGUCAAAGUGGUGCAAGCAUGUUGUGGGUUUUGCUUCUAUCAGAAUUCAUGUAUCUUUUUUGUAGUUUCAAGAAGAAGGAAAAAAGUUGCAUCUUUUGCAGCCUAAAGGGUAGAACAAGCCCAACCCAUGUUGCCAAUUUUCGUACAAUUGAUAUUUUCAAUAUAUUUUUUUAUUGAAUUUUAGGUCGUCUAACUACAUAGUGGUUUCCCAUCCCAUGUUGAAGAUUAAUCUUUUGUUAAAAAAUAAAAUGGCUAGCAAAAUAUUUUGCAUUAAUCAUAGGAAACCAAGAAGUCAACUAAAUUAGUUUCAUUAACUUUUUCAUUGAAUGCAUGUUGGGCUUAUUGAGGCCAAAAAGAAAGAGGGUAGGGCUAUUUAAUAUUCGGCUUUCAGAUGGGUAAAGUUGGAAAUAAAUUAGAUGUAACAAAUAAGGAACAUUAUAAUUUAGGUAAAGUGGGCUCCCUAUCGACAAUCAAGGUGAUAACACAAGUGUUGCUCAUAAUCUAUAUUGGUUCCUGUUUUAUUUCCCCACUCAACUCUUUACAAAUGUUUUGUCCUAGCUCAACAUUGUUAGGAACUCUUUACUUAAAGCCGCUGGUUGCCACUAAGAGAUUUUUACCUCUGUAGAGAAGAUAGUCUAUGAAAAAAAGCUAAGUUGAACCCUCAAGCAUUAGUUCCAAACCUUCAUUUUAGUUUGACGUAUUAACAUAGAAUAUAAGUUGUUGUGUUAGCUUCAGCACCCAAAAGCAUUAUUCAAUGAGAACUGAUUUGGAGAACCAUUUACUUGUCAUUGUUAAGGUUCAUAAUUCUCCUCAAAGCAUUAUACAACCUAGAUUGAGCUUUACAUAAUUACCUAUUGACUGUUUCUUCUCUCAUAUAUUCUGAAUUUUAAAGUUCCUCCUAUGAAAACCUCACUAUAUUUCAUUAACAACUUUCUGUUGUACAACCAUUCUAUUGAUAUCUUCUAAUCUUGGUCAUUGUCUAUUCAUGAUGUCAAAGCAUAGACAUACUUAUACUAUCAUCAAAAGUGUGGCUUAGUAUACUCCCAUAUUGUAUAAUGCCAUCUUACACUCUAUAAUGCCAUCUUAAAAAAUAUGGAAUCAAAGGUGUGGCUUAGUAUACUCCCAUAUUGGUGGAGGAUCUUUUUAUAAUUCUCAUAUGUUAAAAUUUAGAAUAAACUUCUCAUAAGUUAAAGCAAUGACAUUAAUACACUCUUUCAACUAUAAAAGCACAAAAAAACAUUUUUCUAUCACUCUUUUUUCAUCAACAAAAUUUAUUUGGGUCUCAAAACCUCAAUAAUAUAGUGUCAUAUUUGAAGUCAAUAUCUAUUACACAAUCUUAUAGGGUUAAGAUUUUUAAAAUAAUUGCAAUAUCAAUUCCAUAUUUUUUUAUAGAAAUUAAGGAAUAAUGAUUUUAUAGAAGGAACAGUCUAUUAGAAAUCUUUAAAACUCACAUAAUAAUGGUACUCAGUUUUAAAGUUAACUUAAUUAUACAACAUUGGAAUUGCAAGGAGAUGAAAAAUUAGCAACUAGAAAUCUCAAAAUUUCUAGGUAAAGGAAGAACCAUCAAACAAUAUUAUUGCUUAAUACUAUACCAUUAUCUCAUACAUCAAUAAAACUUUUUCAAAGAAAAUUGAAGCCUUAUCAGUUAUUUCUUAUCAAUUUAUUUUUUAAUAAAAAUAUUUAUUAUUUAAUGUAAGUUAAAAUUUUAUUUUUUAAAUUAUUUGUGUUUGUUCUACUCAUUUUGAAUGAAAUUAAAAUUCACUUUUUCUUGGUUGUAUAAAUAAUAAGAAGUAAAGCCUCUAUUGGUUCUUAUGGAGGAUAGGGAGAAUACAAGGAGGUAGGAGUAAAUUAUUUCUUUAAAUUAUUUUCAAAUUUUGGUAUUUAAUUAUUUCUUUUAGUUCUACAUUAGGUGAUUUGGCACAUACUCAAGUUAAGUCAAUGUAGACUAACUUGGAUCGACAUAAUAUUGAGGUAAUUGUUGAGUUAAUGAUUUUGAUGUUCACAACUAAUCAUGAAAAGAAAGAAGAAUUAUUUUACUAUGCUGGUGUAUAGAUCAAGAUCGAAAUCAUUACAUCUAGUCAUUUAUAUUUUUAAAAUAUAAUUUUCUAGAUAUACUAUUACUACAUUAAUGUUGUGGAUCAAGAUCUAAAUCAUUAUAUCUAGUCCUUUAUUAUUGUUAAAAUAUAUCUUAAGAAAAUAGAUAUCAACUACCACAUAACUGAGAAGAAAAAUAAAUCAGAUUACAAAAAAAUUAGAAAGAAAAAGAGGAGAGAAAAAAGUUUCUACUCACAAAUCUGUGUCAGCCAUCAAGAAAUGAAAAAGAAAUAGACACUAGGCUGACUUAGAAAACCUUGUGUCAACUCAAGUAGAAUUGGGAAAGAGAGGUGAUUCUUGAGCCAAAAAUAUUUGUGGACAGAUUCAAAAUUGAGGAAUAAAAUGAAAGUUUUCAGACCUAAAAAAGCCUAUGUUGACUCAUCCAAAAUUGAGGAAGAGAAAUACAGUAUCAAGUCAUAAAUGCAUGUGUCAAUCCAUUAAUAGAUGUCCCAUCCCAUCCAAAACCAAAAAGAGAGGAAGUGUGUAAAACAUGUCCUAAGCAAGAAAAGUUAAGCCAUUCAACCUAAAGGAAAAGAAGAUUUGACUCACAUAAAAUGCAUUUUGACAUAUCAAAAGAUCAAAGAGUUCAAAAAGUUGGUCAGCAAGUUGGACAAACUAACUUUCGUGUAGUCUUACUAGUGGGUCAAUGCAAGUUUUGACCUAGGUAAUUUUUGAUCAAUCAAAUCGUAGAUGUUGGGAUUGUAUAAAUAAACCUUCACAUGAUCUUUCAAACUUAAACUUAACAAUUUCUCAAUUUCACCAUAAAUUCAGAAAUUAUUCUUAAAACUUUUACCAAAAGUGCAUCAUUAUCAAGGUUUUGUCAAGUGUUUAAUCAUUAGCAACAUCAAGUAGGCCCAUUCUCUUAGAAUUUGUAUUGAAAUAUAACUUCUCUAAGCAUAAAUUUAUAUGAGAAGCACUUUUGUCUUUCCAAUGAGAAAAUUCAGAAAUUUGAGUAUUAAUUCAUUCAAAAAUUACGUAAAUUAGAAUUAGGAAAAGGACUGCUCAAUCUAAAACUAGAUGAGGAUUUUCAUUGUGGCAUGUAGUAGACCGAAACACAUUAGGACAAGUUAUUAACCAGAGUAUAUGGUCAAAACUAGGAAACCUUUGGAAUUGUUGUAAAUGGAUUUCUUUAGUCCAACUAAGGCAUAAGUCUUAGUAGAAAAAUAUUUGGGUAUGCAAUCAUUCAUGAUUUUUAUAAAUUUACAAGGGUAAUUUUCUAAAAAGAAGCAUAAUUAACUCAAGGCAUUUAAGAAAUUUAACCAAAAAUAAUAAUAAUGAAAAUAAAUUGAAGAAUAAAAUUAGACAUGAUCAUGAAUGACAAUUUAAAAGUUUAAAUUAUUGGGAAAAAAAUUGGUAAUCAAAGAAAACCCCAUGAAUUUUCUAGUACACCUCAACAAAAUGGUAUUAUGGCUUACCACUAUCCUAAAUAAUUUUCUACUGAGGAGAUAAAUGGUCUAUUAUAUCAUGAAUAGAAUUGUGAUUGAGCCCCUAGUCAAGACAAUUUUUUUGUGAAUUCUAUUAAGGAAAGAAACAAAAUAAUAGUUACUUUUACUUUUUAGAUGCAAAUUCUUUACUUUGAGGACAUAGAAAAUUUUGAUUCUAGAAGUAAUGAAAAAACUAGAGUAUUGUGAAAAUUCACUUUUACAGUUUACAAUAAAUUAUAGGUUAGGAAACAACAAUUAAGAAUUUUAUAAAAGAAAUAGAAAAAAUUUUAGUUCAGGAUGAUGUGGAAUUAUUUGAAACUAAGGUUUAAGAUAUUCAAUUAGUGAUGAUGUGAUGCUCUCCGAACUAUAGGAAAAUAUAGAAAAGGAGAGGUUUUUAAGAGAAGGAAACUAUGUCAAGAUUCAUACAAUUAAUCAAAUUUUAGGGGAUUUUAAGAAAGGACUCUAAACUAGAUCAAGAUUUAAAAUUAAAAUAAUUGUGCAUUGAUUUCUAAAAUUUAGCCAAAAAAUGUUGAGUAAGCUUUAGAGAGUGAGAAUUAGAUUUGAUCACAAAAAAAGAGUUUAAUCAUUUUAGGUUGGUAAUAUUUGAACCUCACUCUCUAGGAUAUUCAAUAUGCUUGUCAUAGGAACAAAUUGGACUGUCAAAGAUACACCAACUUCACAUAAAUCUCGAAUAUGGAAUCUAAAAGCUAAUAUGUGUGUGUUUUACGUGGAUCAAACGAUGGCCCAAGCGUCGUUGGAUUGAUUUGAUGUCAAUAAUAAAGUUGCUUAUCCAUAAGAGAAGAAAAUGCAUUUCAAAUUUCAAAUCAGAUAGACAAAAGAAUGAAAUUUUUUGAAUCAAAAAAUAUAAAAAGUUGUUACCUACAUAUUCUAAAAAAUGGAAAUAUUUAGAAUUAAUUUUUUAAUAUCUAAUGACAGAGUCAAAGAAAGAAACCACUAGAGGAUGACACUUAUAACAAAAAAGAGGGUUUAGAAAAAAAGAACAUAUCUCUACAACAAUUUACAAUGUAUAUCUUUCAAAUUUCAUUCAUUAUGAACUUUAAUGAAGGACAUAAUAUUACACUUGAUCUUCUUAUGAUAUAAUGCUACAUUCAAUCUUCUUAUGACAUCAAUUUUAAAGAUUUAUACUCUCCAUCAGGCCCUAAGGUAAUUAUGUGACAAGGGCAGAGACAUUUAGGCAAAGGCAUAAAAUAUUUGUAGUCAUUUUUUGUCCUAAAAAAUUGUGGUACCUAAAGAGACUGAAUUAAAGUGGUUAAAAGGUUAAGUCCUUAAAUGAUAGUAUAUAUUUCCUAAAUAAAGUAGUGAAAUAUGAUAUAAAGGAUCUUGUGAAAUUGAAAGUAGUUAAGUGAGUAAUGAACUAGUAUAAAAAUUCUGAUUUUAUAAGUGAGAAAGAAGAAUCGUGAGAAUACCACAUAGAGAAAGAGAAAAUAUACAUAGAAGAAAAAAGAGAUGUUAGAGAACCCAUGUCAACAUAUUUAUCAAUAACGAAAAGGCACAAAUCAACAAAAAUCUAUAAACACUCAAUUCAACCCUCUCUUUUUGUAUUUCAUCUAUCAUGUUACUUUUUAUAAAUAAAGGAUCAAUUUAUUAGAAAUUUCAAGUCAUACUUUUCCCCUAAUUACACAUUUGAAUGAUUAAAUAUAAACAUGACAUCUUUUAAGGGCUUAGAUAUCAUUUUUUUUACUCCAAUAAUACAAUAAUUACACUGCUAACAUAUAUUUGAAGGUAUUAGUUUAUGCAUACUUGUAAGAGUCUUCACAUCAGCAUUCAACAUCAAUAAAUUACCAAAUUUUAAUACUUCUAGCGGAAUAGAUUAAUGAUUCAAAUAGUAUUCAAAGUAUCAUUAAUUUAAUUCCAAAGAAAUUGAUCAAAUCAUGAAUGGAAAAUAUUCAAAGUAUUUUUUUAAUUAAUAGACAUCAAGUAUAAUAUUUUAACUUUCAUCUCAAUACGUUACUUCAAUCAUUUGAAAAUUCUUAGAUGACUAGAUUAUGACUUUUUGGUAUCAUUUUAGUAAUUUUCAUCAAGUACAAUGAUGCUAAGGGAAGUAAUGAUUCCUAGUCAAUUUUCAAUCAUUAUAUUGUAUUUCAACUCAUGCAUGUCAAACAUAAUCAUUGAAAUAUCAUCUUAAUACUUAAUACAACUAAAAUCUAUUACAAAUAAUUUUAAAGUCAAUAUCAUUGAAUCAUAUGCCUAGUUCUUGCAGAAAGGAUAUGUUUUAGAAUUAUAAUCACAAUUUCUUUAAUUAUUUUUGUAUGCAUGUUUUUCCUUAUCAAAAAUUUUUUGAGACAAUUAAGACUCCUAAAUUAAAUAGAAUCCAUAAUAAUCAAAAUGGCGUGUUUUUGAGUAGUUGCUUGAACUAAAAAGCAAAGAUAAAUCUUAAAAGAGAAUGAAAAUUGAAUUAUUAUCAUCCUCCUUAAAUGUUAUAACAUAUUGGCCUUUAAAUAGUCUUUUGUCAAUUUUUAUUCUCUUAAAAAAUCUGAUUGAUGAACGAAUUUACAUUAAAUCAAAAUACUAUGAAACAUACUUUCUAAUAAUAUAGAUAUGGCAUUGUAUCCAUGCAGACUUUUAUUGGCUUAUUUUAAUUUGAACUUAAACUCAUUUAAUGACUUUCAACCUAUGCAAUCCAUAUUUUACUAUGGAGUCACAUGUACCACAUUAGAAAGUGCAUUUGAUUGCAUAGUUAACAUCUUUGAUAUGAUGAAUGACAAUUCAGUGCUAAUCAAAAUCAAAAAAUUUACCCAUAUCUACCAACUUAUCCUCAUGGUUCUUCUGAAUAUUCUACUUCUGCAAAAAAGAUAGUGAUUAAUUGACACUUACUAACUUAAUUUUACUAUGGAGCAUGAAAAAAUUUUUCUUCCUAAGUUCAUCAUUGCUAUCAUGAUGAAAACUCUCAGCCUUUUACACACUCACAACUUGUUUUAUAAGUUACUAUUUCCUUGAUCUACAUAGAAAAUCAAAAAUCUGGUCACAAAUACUGACUUUAGAUUGAAACUUGAUUGAUCACGUUGCCCAAUUUAUCUCACAAAGAUAUUCCUUCUGCUAGUCUACUUAAGCACUUUGUCAUUGAGCAUCUAUCAUUUUACCUAACCUAUGUCCAAUGCUGGCUUCACAAAGCUCUUAAAUGUUAAUGAUUAAAUCAAAGAUUAGGCAAAAGCUUUUGCCAAUAAUGUGAUGGACAUUAAGCAGUGAUUAAUUCUAGAAUUUUCUUUUUUUUUAAUAAAAAAUGAUGGAGAGGUUAUGCAUCUUGAGGGGAUCAAGCAUGUAUCAAGAAACUUUGUUUCUUUAUGACUGUUUGAUGUUUUCAUGUAUGGACCAAUUGUCUAAACUUCUGAAUUGUUGAUGUAAAAUUGUAUUCCCCUUUUCUUAAUUUAUCUUCUUUUGUUGUGAUUCCUAUGGUGUGUACUAAUUGUUGUACCUAGGAGUAGCAAUCCAAUCAUUGUGAGAAAAUUGGUGUGGUUGCUGAGAAUUCAUAAUAUUCAAAAAUCAUUGACAACCCAAAAGGAUGAAAUAUGACUAAUGGACUAAGUGAGAAAAAAAAUUAUACAGGGGAAAAUGGACUGAAAAUAUUAGUUGAAUUGUUUUUUGAUGUGCCAACAAGGGGACAUAAUGAACUAAAUAGUGAAAUGAAAAUACUGUUCUCAUUCAAUAAAAUUAGAAUAAAGAACUGAAAUGUGGAAUGAAACUUAUUUUCGUGCUUGAUGUGAGAAGCGAGAAUCAAGGUGAGUGGAUGAAAAUUAUCAUUGAGACAAGUGUUGAGAUUAUUCAGGUUUCAUUUCUUCCACUUGUUUGAACAUUUCCCCCAUAAAAUGGUGGAGAUUAUUCAUGUGAAUGAUAAUUUUAGGAUGUGAAAUCUGCGAAUUGCCUUAGUUUAACUAUCAAAAGGGCAAGGGUGGAAUCAGACAAAUGAUUUUUACAUUGGACCAUUGAGCCUCACAUAUGCUAGGAACUCAUGAAAAUUGUAAUUAAAAGUACUCAACGCAAUAAACAGUAAAUCAAGAAUUCAAAGAGUUCAAAUUGUCCUGAUUUUAUUUCCACUAAAGUGAAAAGUUAUUUCUAAAUUGUAUAAUUUAAUGUGAAAAAUAAUCUAUAUUUUAACUUGUGUUAAAGAAAGCAGGUCAAAUAAGGAAUCCAACAUAGCAGAUCUGAUGGUUUCGAAUUUUUAUGUAUUUUACAAGGUUUACCAACAUUUUCUUGCAUUAUCCGUCACAUGUGCAGUCCAAUACAGACCACUCAACUAAUUGUUGAGAUGCCUGUUCGGCCCAUUAAGCCCAGCAUAGAAAUAGGGCUUUCACCCAAAAAUGGGGCAUCAGGAAAGAUCAAAAGAUAGAGCACAGGAGUCUAUCUCUCUGCCCUCUUUCUGCUUACAGAAAUCUUCUAGAACCCAAGCUGCAAAUUCAAUGUCUCCAAGUUUCUGCAACUCCUGAUAGUUAUUUGCGGCUAAAUAUCUUUGAAAAGCUUCCUUACAAUCUUCUUCCUCAACAGCAAGAUUCAGCAUCCUAUUUGAAGGCAUGGGUAUGCCUCCGUAUUUCUUGAACUGCUAAUAAUUAUUUACCGCUAAAUAUCUUUGAAAAGCUUCCUCGCAUACUUCUUGCUCGACAGCAAGAUUCAACAUCCUAUUUAGAAAUAGGCGGUAGAAACAGCCUACUUCUGUUGGGUUUGAAUUUCUAAAGGCUCUCUAGGAUCACUUGUCUCAAGAUUUGGAGGCUAGAUAGAGCUUGAACAUCCAGAAAGGGGAGAAAACCCACAUGAAGAUAUAUCGUGCAAGGAAGAGAGUAUGAUCCCACAAAGCCGCCCCCACUUGAUCUGCUUAUUGGGCGAUAAAAAUAGAAUUUUCAUUCUCUUUGGGGGGCUCAUAUUUUAUUCUGGAUUCAAGCAACCAUUAUCAGUUCAAAGGACAACAUUUUGGAUCAUUGUGGAUUCAAGGAUCAUCAAAAUUAUUUAUUGUGGAUACAAGCCAAUGGGAUUUCGCAGUGAUUUACUUAUGUUGGUCCGUUGAACUUCAUCCCCCAAUUGACAGUUUUGUAUCCACUAAAUCAUGGUUGGUUUUUGAGGCAAGAGAUUUGUGUUUGGAGGUCAACAUCAAUCAGAAAGAAACGGUCGAGUGACGUGUCCUUGGCGAUUUCAUUAAAUGGACGAUAGAAAACACAGCUUUUGUUUGAGAUCUUCGUGAGAUUAUUCAUUCUGAUGUUCUUCAAAAUGUUUGGUUAGUGGGCUUUUUGGUAGCUACACAUGCAUCACUAUUGCCCACGUUCCUAAGAUUCCUGAGAGAUUCAGGCUCUUCUUCUUCAUGCGCCAUAAAUGGGAGGUUAACGAAUGCUGCAGCCUGGGCCCAGACUAGCCAGGGGAGUGCCAAUAGUGAUCACCGGCAGGAGGAAGAACAUUAACAGUUGAACAUCAAAGACGGGGGCGUAAAUGGGCAGGGAACAGUGGGGUGGAUAAAUGCGCUGCCACCUGUGGUCCAUGUGGACUACCACGUGGGUUUCCGAGCCGUUGUGAUGCUAUUUCCUUCAUUUAUUUCUUUAAGGGUCGUUAUUUCUCUAGGAGCUCAAGGCGACUCCCCGUGAGAAGAUGAUUUCUGUUCCAAUGGCUCUGCGAUGCGGGAACAGAUGACGAGGGGCGUCCUUCGAUUCAUUCGGCGAGAGAUCUCGACCGAUCACACUCGAACAGAAGUAAAAUGCCAUCCUUUUCAGGUACUAGAUACAAAAAAGAAGCUAAUUUUGCUCUUCUUCUGGGAAGAAAACAGAGACUCAGCUGUCUCCCCUCGUUGGUUUUCCCCAGGACAAGGGGGAAGUGAGCUGAAAACGCGCCUCCAGGACGAACACCAUGUACACGAUGAAGGAAUUGGGCAGGAGAACCCGCAGCCGGAGAGGGGAGAGGGAGAGAGGAGAGAGGAGAGAUUUCUGACCUUUCUCGUAUCCCUCGUCCUGUUCGUCGUGGUUGCUGGUUCUCGUCGUCGAGGGGGGUUUGCUUCGGACAACCCACCCUGGCUGAUCUUGUGUUGUGGUUUUCGAAGAAUUUGAAGAAAUGGAAGAGCAGGGAUCUGUCCACGGAAUGAAAAAACGGGACAUGUUCAGGGCUCCACGUCGUCCCAGCUGAGGUCCCCGCCGCCUCCGGUGACGACGAUGGCUGUGCCGUUGUUGAAGGCGGGGCACUGGUAGGACGGCCGAGAUCCGUCGCCGCCGGCGCUGGCGGGGCAUCCGGAGGGCCCCACGGGCAGCGGUGCCAUGCAGUUGUAGGAUAGGCAGACCGUCACCCCGUCCGGAAGGGGCGGCGAGACGGCGGCGCCGGCCACACCGCCGCCGGGAAUCGGAAGUGGAGAGUCGAGUCCGGAGAGGUAGUUGUGCUGAGCAUAGAGCGUCGUCAUGGUGCCCGCGUAGAGGCUGCGAACGAACUCCGACGGCAGGGUCCCCGUCAGACGGUUGUAGUUCACGAAGAGGCUGCCGGCCGCCGCCAGACCCCCCGGAAGGGGACCCGUCAGCUGAUUGUGGCUCAGGUCCACCGUCCACUUCGCGAUGGCUCCCGGCUCGACGGGCUCCGGUAUAGGGCCCGACAAGCUGUUCCGCUGCAGCAAGAGCACCGCCAAUGGCGGUGGCACCUCCUCCUCCGGGGGGCGCCGUGGAUUGAAGAGGGCACUGGGUACGGGACCGGAGAAGCCGUUCAUGGAAAGGUCGAGAAAAGCGAGGUCGGGAAAUGAGGCGUCGAGGGCUUCGAGGGGACCCGACAUUGCGUUGUUGGAGACGGAGAUGUAGUGGAGAGUGGCCGGGAGAGGGCGAGGAAGAGGUCCGGUGAGGUUGUUCUCGCGGAGGUCGAGAUGGAGGAGCGGGACGGCGACAGGGGGGAUUUCCCCGGAGAGACCGCCGUUGGCGGCGAGGAUUACGACCCGGAGGCUGGGUAGAGCGAGGAGGGCCGGGGGAAUGGCACCGGAGAGGCGAUUGUGGCUGAGAUCGAGCGUGUGGAGGCUGGGGAGAACCCCUAAGGAGGCCGGGAUGGGGCCGGAUAGAAGGUUUCCGCUCAAGGAAAGGAGGCGGAGCGAGGGCAGGCGGGCUCCGCCGAGCGCCUCGGGGAUGGGCCCGGAGACGCGGCCGGGGGAGAGGACGAGCUGGGUGAGAAGCGUGAGGUUGGCAAGGGAGGGUGGAAGCGUCCCGGCGAGGCCCGGAGAUCCUGCAGAACCGGCAGAUCCGAGGGUGAGAGACGUCACCCGGAGGGUCGCAUCGUCGUCGGCAGGGGAGCAGACGACGCCGGCGAAGGAGGAGCAGGCGUCGGAGGCGGCAGACGGUGAAUCCAAGCGCCACGAGGAGAAGAAGCCCGAGCCGGGGAGGUCGCGGAGGCUCUGUCUGAGGUCUAUGAGCACAUCAAGGUCCCCGCUGGUCAGACGAGCACCAAGAGCCAGCGUCUCCUGCGGCCGCUGCUGCGCGGUGGCCAACCAGGCCCCUCGCGAGACCAAGAUCACGGAGAGUAAGAGCGAGAGAAGGCUCGCCAUGGCAGCGUGAAGUCGCCCGCAGCGCGAUGGGGUCCGCGAGAGGAUUCUCUCUCCCACAGGAAGCCGGCGGAGAUGGGCGCGCGCGAGAAAUGUCGGCCAAAACAAAGGGCAGCCGCGCUCAGUCACAGGCUUUGUAAAGGCGCGUUCUUGCCAGCAGGUGUGGGGGCGGGUUGGCUCCCGUUGCCUAAUCCUCCUCUGCGUCACUAGCGUAGCAGCGCGGCCGCAAUGAUGGCUCUCACAGGGGGGAGGGGGGGUUUACGGUCGUCGUACAGCGGGACGAGGGGGCACGUGGUGGAAGUUGGACGGACGCCGAAUGGUCCUGCGCCGUUGCAUGUUUCCAUGUCCCUUCUGUUGCGUGACGACACGGCCAACUGGCCGAGAAAAGACAAGGCAUGCUUGCUUGCUUGCCUCGCCUCGAUUCCUUUGCCCGGGCCGACUCCCCGGCGGCUUGCACACGCGGCACGGGGGUUUCUGCUGCCCAGGUUAGGUUCCGCGCUUGGAGAAGAGGUGGGUGAACAGCGACACACAGAGGGGUGGAGGGGCCGGCCUUCCGGCCAGGGAAUGGAUGUCCCGGCAAGAACAGGGAGAAUCUGUGGAGCCGACGCCCGCCCGACGCGGGCUCGCCCGGCGCGCAAUGCUAGCAACUGCAGCAGGAAUUGGGGAACUAAGCCAGAACGGAGCUCGAGCUCCCUCCCGAGGGAGGUCUCGCCGGAAUUUCCAAGAGGGGAUCUUGGAAAGAACUCAAAUAUUGGAAGUCCCUUGGAGGCGGGGGGCCGGUCGCCGACAGGCCUUUUCGAACUCGCGCUUCAAAAUAUAUCAAAGUUGGAUUUGUUGGAACCGACUUGACGGUCUCAAGCUCUUUUCACUCCCUCGUCACUGCUACUGCAUAGAUUAUGCCGUGCUCCGUCCUUCCUUGACGGGGCCUCCCCUGCCCUCUUCCCUCCCCUCGACUGGCGAUGCACGGCUGCGCGCCGCCGGCCAUGGCAUCCUCCGAGCCCUUCCCUACCCGGCCAGCUCGGUGGAGAAGCGCCAUUUGCGGCGGCGUGUCUGGGCUUCUCCAGUAGUCAAGCCUGUUGGGGUUCAGCUUUGUUGGCUCUCGCUCGGACCAGGGUCAAACUGGGUCCGACUCCACCUAAUAUUUCACUCAAUAUUCUACUUCUAUGCAGAUGGGUUGGUGCGACCCAUCAUAAAUAAUUAACCCGCUUGCUCAAAUCUGCUCCUUGCGGAAGUCGAACCAGCCCGACCUUAAUAAAAUACGGCCGACCGAUCUGGUGAUAAAAUACGGCCGACCGAUCUUUACUAUUCUUAGGUGCAUAGUAGCAUGUGCUAACGGCCAUAUUCCACGGCUGCCUAGGCUGCUAACAUAUUGCUUUGUUCUUAGGCACAAAUCCUAACCCAGGUUUGAAGUAACGGAGACUGAUUUUAUUGUUUUACAUGCUCUGAGGGCAUUGGUCCAACGGUGGCUGGUAAUGACGCUCUAACAUACGCGAAGACAGAGAAACUUAGCAAGCUCUGUCUGGGAGGGGAAUCACUCCUGGAUGAUGAUUUGAGUGGGUUAAACUGUUCUUAAAAAAAAAAAUGGUAGAACGCAAUGAGAAAAUAUCGGCAGCAUCAAAUAAGUUUAAGGAAAAAUCGGAAAAGUUUUGCUAUAAUGGGUCCCAGAUAAGUGUAAACGUCAGAAAAGCUUUGGUAGUUUUGCCGACAGUCACCGCUGUUCAUCGAUUUGUACUCCAUUCAAGGUAAAACCGGAAAUGAAGAACAACGAUGCGAGCUGGUGAAUAAACUCUGUUAUGGUAUGAACCCCAACAUGGCUAUUAAAUGAGCAUUCUUAUUGAGGAUAAGAUAUCCUAUUAUUGAGGGCAGCCCCAACAUGGCUGUUAGCUCGAAUCAUUAACAAAAAUGUCGUGGAUGUCACUCCCCUGGUCCCGGUGAUAUUUAUGCCUGUCUCUCUCCCCACCAAAGUGUCUGGAACUUUUGGCAUAUGACAAUAGCUCGUGGGCCUGCCUAUCUCAUCUUUGGUUGGAUCACUCUCCGCAAUUCUCGCGGAAGGCUCUUCUUCUUCCUCGACGUCAGUAUACUCUCAUCUCUGCCAGACGGCUCUCCGAACACCGACAGCGGCGAUAAAUGCGAAUAGGGAGUUCUCAGCGCAUUGCUUGUUAAUACCCCAUGUGGGGUUAAAACGUUUGGAAGAACGCGGUUGUGUGAGUAACUCACAGUAGUGGUGCACUGACGAGAGGAGUUACUCGCCUGCAUGGAUCCUCAUCAUGUGGGCAUUUAAGCGCUGCCGCUGCUACUGCCAUCGUAAAGGACCUGACGGCAGGCCGCCGUUCAAGGGCUCCGACCAGUCGGUCGCCGAGCAUAGAUGCUGAGACGCGUAUUGUUUUCUGUACUUUGCCUGGAUGUGAAUUGUGGCCGUCACCGCAGAAGAAAAUUCGCCGUUUCAGCCUCCCAAGCCUGAAAACUUGACGGCGUACGUAAAGCGCCGCCGGUGGAUCAAGAAUGGAGCAAGUCUUAAAGGUCAACUGAGGAGUCAGCGUGGCUGUCAACGACAACGAGGCGAACGUUUGAAGGGGGUGAAGGGGGAGAAGGGGGGGACCUUGUUGAGUGAGCAGACAACCACAACGGUCUUCAUAUUAAAUGCCAUCACAUGAUCCGCUCUUGGCGCGAUGUAUGAACUUAUAGCCAUCAUUGCUUGCCGGUCACUCUCGCAAGUACCCCCCGGCACAAGAUCAGUCAGUCUUUCGGCUCUUCCCUUUCCCACCCUGCCGACAAGGGAGAUAAGGCCACGAACAUGCAUCAUGAAACUCUCUCUCUCUCUCUCUCUCUCUCUCUCUCUCUCUCUAUCGCUGGUAUCUAUUCAUCUUUAUCCCUGCAUCUCAUCUCAGUCCGAGUCUCCUCAAGGAAGGCCACACACAUCUCUCUCUUUCUCCCUUCAAAUCCCUCUCUCUCUAUCUAUACAGGUCAACGUGCCGACGCCGGCUUGUCUUCUACUCGUCAAGUGCGAGUUCAGAUGGGGAGGGGAUCUUAAUGAAACCUACAGAGUUCAGAACGCUUCGUGCUUCUUCGGGUUGCCUCUAAAUACUGGAGACAGCGACCUCAGUAAAUGCCAAAACGGUGUAGUAAUUGCACAAUGGAAGAGCCGAGCAGGGUCACUGCUCUUCUUCAUGUUGCUGACAACUGACGCGGGGUUCUCUUCGAUUUUUCUUCGUCUUCUUUCUUCGUAGCAUGACAUCACUCAUAAUGGUCGUCACCUCUCUCUCUCUCUCUCUCUGCCGUUUUUUCGUAGGCGGUGGUAUAAACCGUCAGUUGCUGAAGAGUUCCCUAAAAUAGGAUCAGAGUUGACUCGCACCGAAGUGUCUACGCCCACCUCAAAGCCUGAUAUCGUUGACUACAGAGAGUUUAACCAAGUAUAAGCCUGAAACUUCAGAAUUUUAGGUACGAUACCAACUGUCUCCCUACUGCUGCACUGCAGGCUUCCUGUUCGUCGACCCUACUCCAAAUUCGCAGCUGACAUGGCCCAGCUAAGACGCCUCGAAUACGGCAGGUAGUUUCGUACGGAGAGAGUACCUCUUACCAUUGCCAAUGGACUGAGUAGGCUCAUAGCUCAGCUUCGGACCGGACUUGGGUUUCUUCGUGCGCCAGGGUCUAGAAAAAUCAGGUCCUAGAAUAAGAGUAGGCUCUCCAAGGAACUGUAGGGGAGCCAUCAGCCUGCCUCCGCUUGCCCGACUCUAGAACGUGCUCUGUUGCCUAAGUGGAGACCCCCCCCGCCUCCUGCCGCGUAACCCGCGUUGUCUCCAACAUCGGCGGCUGAUAAUCCGCCUGCAUGGUGGGCUCUCCCAGGGAGGAGGAGGAGGGAAGGGGGGGAGACGCGUCGCGCAGAGUUUCACUUCAAUUCAAAAAAAUAAAUUUCAAGACUUGUGAAGAAAUUAAGGGGGGGUAGACUCGGAACGGUAAUGGUUUUGAACGGCUAAAUUGUAUUUAAUGUUCGCUAAUAAUCGAUUUCAUUCGUUCGCUGCGGCACAAGGCGAAAGAAGGGCUGGAAGCGUGAUGGACGCACGUAUCCGGGCCAUCGUCGACGCCAUCCACGCCAGCCCCUCCCAGGCUGUCAUCUACCUCGCCGGAGGUGCCUCUCAGGUGUGUCGGUCUCUCGUUCUCUGCUUCUUAGUUCCCCUCCCUGCCGCCGAUUCCCGACAACUGCAGAAUUCUGAAAAUGGCUGUUUUUUCGAUUGCUGCCUCCAGGCGCUCGGGUGGCUGCUGUCUGUUCCAGGAGCUUCUAACACCGUUCUCGAGGCUUUGGUUCCCUACUCCAAGACCUCCAUGUCCCAACUCCUCGGGAAGGUAACUCGUCGUCUCCUUCCCUAUGAAUAAUUUUCCCUAUUCGGCAUCUUCUUUCAUCUCGAACCCCGACAGCUUGUUUGCGUAUCCGUUUUAGUUUUCUCCUUUCGAUAUGUUCGGCCUGUUGUUCCAUAUUUAUCUGCCUCUUACCCGAGGAACAUUCAAACUCUGGAAUGUGGUGCGUCUGAUGGAAAGAUAAAAAGAAUCGUUUGUCCGACUACGUUUUGAUGGGGGAAAGUUUGUGAAUUAUUUAUUGAUUGAAUGUCUUGGGAUCGAACUCAACUAUAGCCUGAUAUGGCGAGAAUGUUUAUGCAACCCUGCCAAGUUUGAAUACACCUGAACCAUGUUUGGUUCCUUCGGAGUCAUUAGAUGCAACCUCUCGUUUGCAGGAGGAUGCUUUUUCCUUGAUCUUCUCAGUCUUAUUUUCUAUUAGUGGCUUCGAUCCAUUUCAAAGAGGUGGUCAUCUCAUGCAUCACAAACUUUAAGGUAUUUUGGUUAGGCAUCAGGCCUAGCUUUUCUCCCUAAACCGCCAUUGAUAGUCCACUCCAUUAGGAAAUGCAAAUCAGGCUGUGUCUUAUUGAUAUGGUGCAUCACUGGUUCCCUGGCCCAUUUUGUCUCACAAACAGCAUACAGUAAGUUUUAAACUAAAAUAGCAAAAAUAACGGACGAAUAUCUGAACAAGAAUAAAUUUCAAAGAGUGAAAACCUUACCAUAACCCGCAAUACAAACAGGGAGGAUGAAGAAAACAAAUGCUAUGGAAAACCUUACUACAUCAUCUUCUAAUUCUUUUUUAAACCAAGAAUAUUAAAAAAUUGCUUCUUUACUUGUUCUAUACUUUUAAUGUAUUAUUGAGUACCUCAGGUGGAUCCUAUCUCUGAAAACUGCAUUUAAGGUUUACAGUCUAGUCGUGUGCUACCUUAUAAUACUUGCUGGUUCACUUUAUUCAUAUGGGUUGGAUUUACAUCACUGAGGCACUCUUUGACUUAUGGAAGUUGUCCCUAGUAAAGCCCUAAACAUAGGUUCUUCUGAUCCAUAUCUCCUUCUUCACAAGUUUUGAUGUCUUAGCAAGGCCUGUGCAUAUAGUUUAAAAAUAUGUAUACUGAUAACUGGGUUAUGUUAUCACCAAACCAAUUUUAGAGCUCAGAAAAAGAGUUAUCUAAAAGUAAUAUGAAAGAUAUCUACCACUUUUGAGUUUAGAAUUCCUCUUUGUCACAUGACUGCAACAUUUUUUAUUAAAGAGGAUUGUUUUCUUCUAUCAAACCCAAGAAACGACAGAGAGCAUAAAAAAAAUGAAAGAGUAAAUAUGAAGAUUUCAUGUUAUUGCAUAUUUGAAAUCACACUUCUCUGUGUGGCUUAUAUCUUGAACUAAGCACAGAUUUCUGAUGUUAAAAGGAACUGCAUUAUUGUCUUGUUUUAGCAUAAGCCUUAAAAAUUCUCACAUUAUUGCGACCAUUUUGGUAUCUUAGCUCAGCUUAAUCACCUUUGUAGGAAGUACCCAGUUUCUUUAGGACAUGAUGAUUUGAUGCUAAACUAGGUCUAGUUUCUGUUCUUCUAAGAGGCUGGAAACAUAUAUAUUCUUGUACAAGGUGUUUCUAUUCCCGUGUGUUACUGCUGAGAAAUGAAGGCUAUCAAAUCCUGAGAGGACUGCUACAGAGAUCAACUAUGAAAAAUGUAUGAUCUAUUCAUGUACAAAGGCAGGUGUAUCUUCUUGGUUAAGAGUUCAGACAACAGUAUCUCCUAGGAUUAGGGUCAAUUAGGGGUAAUGAAAGGAUCUUAGAUUUAUGAAGAAACGACAACAAGAAAGAUCUGAUAUCUUUGCAUAAUCUUCUCAGUUAAUAUAAUAUAGCAGAGGUAAGGGAUGGUACUAAUGCUUUCCAAUCGACAGAUACUGUGUUUUCCUCAUUCAAUUUUAUUUGACGUCAGUACUUUUUGUCUUGUGGGAAUAUAUAGUUUAGCUAAUUGUAACCUGAAAUGAAUUUUCUUCUGUUGGGAGCUCACUGUUACAGAACUUCAUAGAAGUGACUAUCAGCUCAUGUACUGGAGCACUCCAUAGAACUGCUAGAUUUUAGACAAUAGGCAACAUGUUAUAAUGAUUGGAUCCCGCCUCAUCUCUUCACGAGGUUAAAUUGCACAACCAUGCUACCAGCAAGGUAGUCUACUCAACAUGUGAAUAGUGCAUAUUUUUAAAAAGGCUAUUUCUGGUCCAAAACUAUGUUGACUGAAAUUUUGGAACACUUUCUAUGGGGGCUCAUGUCAAACACCACGACAAAAGGAAAGCUUAUCCAUAGUCAUGGGACCAUCUAUUUUAUACAGGAAAACACAAGAUUCUGGGGGAAGACUCAAUAUGGUCAUGACAAUAGAUGAAAUAGUAUCAUUGCACUGGGGCGAUCUAUUUCAGUAUCUUUUCUGUAGUGUAUGUCAUAUAGUUUCAUUUUAGAUUAUUACUAAGUUACAUUACAAUGUGACCAUACUUUAGUUCACUUGCUGUUCAAGUUCUUGGUCAAGUAUUGUAACCUGCCAAUAGAAUUUACCCAUUCAAUUCAGUGGUCUGGGUCAGGUGAAGAUUGACUGUCUUGAUUGGACCAUAUGUUGUGGUGUAAUGUUUUCAUGUGAACUAUCAAAUAAUCCCCCUCUACAAUGGUCUUGGGUUUUUCUUCAUAUUGAAUCCCUCUGUAACCUCCCAUGUCCUCUAUAUGUUACAGGCCCGUUGGCAAAGCUUAUUGUACAAAUUAUCAUAUUAUUUCACCAGAAAAACACUGUUAAAAUGGCUGAAAUUGCAAUAUAUCAUAAAAAUUAAGCUUAAUGACUAGGGUCGUUAGCUCACUGCCAAAUCUCUAACUCUGCAUACAGAUGGUAAGAAAUACGGAGUUCUGCAAUUAACCCUUAUACCUUUCACCAAUUCUUCAGUUUGUAUGUUGCUUGUAUGUAUUUACCAUCAGUUGUCAAUCUUUCAGCAGAAGCAAGGAGCUCAUUCUACAGUACUCAGAGAAAUAACCCUAAGAAGAUAAUAUUAUAAGCUGAUUGCUGUGUUAAUCAUUCUAUGAGUAUGGUGUUCUGAAAAACAGUCAGUCUCUUUUGGUAUCAUCAUAAGGCAUGCAAGUAAAAUAUCUUGCAAUUUAUUUCUCUCUUUCGUCAAUGAUCAUCCAAGAGGAGAGAACAGAGGUGGCAUUUUCUAGCCAUAGUAUUUUCUGUUGUUUUUUUCUUCUGCACUUUGUUUCUGGACGGCAACAUUGGCCUUUGUCGCCACUUUCAACAUAAUUCUGUCAUAGACUGCUUUGAAAUAAGAAGUCACAAAAAGAGCAAGCCGUUAGAUUAUUGCCUAUCGAAGUUUGUUCGCAAUAUCAUUAACACUUGCAUAGCAUUAGUUAAGAUGAUCUUCAGCAUAACUUUUUUGAUUUAUCAUCUAUUUCCAUCAUGUCUUUCUUUUUACCUUCACUUCCUUGGAUUAUCCCAUGAUUUUUUUCCUUUAUUAUUCUAAUAUUGCAUCUCUUUUUGUUGAUGUAUGCCCUUUUCUUUAAGCUUGCAUUCCUUCAAAAUGACUGCCCAAUGGUUCUUUAAAUAUUUUUUUAUUUUUCUCCCUCGUCAGUUUGAUUCUGCCAGUCUGCUCCUAAUUUUAUCUCUUCAGGCCAGUCUAAUUUGCAAAUUUAUAGCAAAACAGUAUGUGGGUGAAGGUUAUGUCUUUCUGUGGGCAUUUUAUUCGUUCUUAUUCACAGACAAGUACAGACAUACUGGACAACAUAGAAAGUAGAAGAAAUCUAAGGUCUCAUGCCAUUAAAAUCAUGCAUCAUUAAUAAAGUUUACUUUAUUCAGUUGGCUGAAAAAUAUGAUAGACGUUGACUUGGGUAUGUGUAAAUUGCCAAAGAAAAUGAUGAUGUUAAUCAGUAACUUUGAAUGAUAAAUUCUGAUAAUAGAAAGUGGUUGGUCGUGGUAACUUAAAUGAAAGGAUUUCAAUGUUACAUAUUGUAUGUGGGAUUUGUUACUCUGUUUCCUACGUAAUGAAUUUUAGGUUCCUGCGCAUUUCACUAGCCAAGAAGUUGUAGAAGAAAUGGCAAUGUUGGCCUACAAUCGUGCAUUGAAGCUGUCUAGACCAGGUUCUUGUUCUUCAAUGGUUUUCUAUAACACUAAAUCAUAACAGUGUUUUUCUACUUCAGUUAUCUGCUUCAUUCAUCCUUUCAUACCUUUCGUUUAUCUGAUAUCAAACGGAGUUGGCUAAAGUUUCAUUCUUUUGGCUUCAAAUGAAUUUCUCCUUGAAGGCAUUGUUGUUUAGAUUUUUUUGAAGUGAUGUUACAAUAUUGAAUAAGUUCUUAAUUCAUUAGUUUCAAUUUCAUCAUGUUGAUAGAAAAAGGGGAUGAGAAGACACCAUAGAUGUGGAGAUGGCCAGUUUUUCGAUGAGAAGACACUUGUACACCUGGUACAAGUGUGCUUAGGAUACAAAAUUAAAGAUAAAAUAGAAAGACAGAAACACCCUCAUGUUCUUGGCAUUUUCUCUCGAUAAAAUUAUGGAUACUUAUCAUGUUGACCUUGCACAAUGUGUGUUGAAGUCACCUUGUGUAAAUCUGUCAAUCUAAAUAACUAAACAUUGGCCAUUUUGUUGAGGCAGAGAUAGGCAGUGGAAGACUAGCACCAAAAAAGGGAGAGUACAGGAGGAGGAAGAGAUAAAAUGAGAGAAUAUAAAUAGUCUUACCAUGGGCUGUAAGGCCCUUGGUACUUAUACAUAAACCCUUAGAGGUAAAAUCAUAAAUGAUAGAAAAUAAAUAGAGAAACAGAAGGGGGAAUAUAUCUGACAACACUCCCCCUCAAGUUGGUGAAUGGAUGUCAUCCAUGCCCAGCUUGCCACAUAGUUCGUAGAAGCAUAAUGAGGAGAGGUCCUUCAUGAAGAUGUAUGCCUGCUGUUGAGUAGAUGGGAUAUAUGGAGUAAAGAAAUCUCCUGUCUUGAGUUUUUCCUUAAUAAAGUGGUGAUCCACUUCGACGUGCUUCAUGUGGUCAUGCUAAACUAGAUCAUGGGUGAUGUUGAUGACUAAUUUUUUGUCUCAUAAUAGUUGAACUAGAUGAAUGUAUGGAAGUCCAAUUUCAGUCAAUAGUUACUUGAUCUAAAUAGCUUCACACAGACCUUGAACCAUUGCUUGGAACUUAGCCUUUGCACUUGACCAAGCAAGAAUUAGUGAGCUUUACUGACUCUACUUUUAUUUUUUUUCACCCUAAAGGAAUGAUUUAUUUGGGUUCAAUGGCUUUGAUAUUCUACUUUAUGGGUAGAAAAGAUACCCGAACAUUUUUUUUCUUUAUCUACAGGAAAUAGUGAUGUAGUUUCCAUUUGCCAUCAUGAGAUCAACCUCAAUAAGGAUCAUCUUUCUGCCAGAAUAUCUAUUUAAGAACUAUUUAAAUAUUUUUUGGCUGUCAUUAUAUUCAUUCUCUUUCAUAAUCUAUGGAAGGUGCAUUAGCUGGUGGUGGAACAACGAUCAAUUUAUGAGCCAGCAUAAUCUGUGUCCGUGUUGACCUCCAGGCAGAGUUGAGCAUCCUGCCAGAAGAGUAUCUUGUGGCCCACCGUACCUUUGAGGUAACAAUGUGUACGAGUGGCAGCAUGGAGGUGAGGUGCUUGAGGAGCAUGCAUGAAUUGACUCAAAAUGUUGAUCGUGUAGGCAAUGUUGGGUCGAGGGUAGGUGAGAUAGAUGAGCUUGCCGACCAACUUCUGAUAAGACCCUUGAUCAAUAGGUUCCGUAUUUGCAACAUCUACCAAGCGAUGAUUAGUUUUGAAUGAAAGUAUCCAGUGGUUGCGAAGCUGAUUUGUCAAGUUCUUGAAGAAGGUCUAGUGUACUUAUACUAGCAGAUAAAGAUACCCACAACACUAUAAGCCACUUCUAGUCCCAAAAAAUACUACAGUAAGCCCAGAUGUUAGAUCUCAAAUACCAAGGCCAAUCAGUGAGCAAGAGAUUGAGCCUCAAUAGUGUCGCUCUUGGUGAUGAUGAUAUUGUCAACAUAUAUUAAGAGGAGAGUGACUCCCCCUAACAAGGAAUGGUGAUAGAACAUAGUAUGAUCAUCAUUACUUCGUUGAUAACCAAAAGACAUUAUCAAGAUGGUGAAGUGACCAAACUAGGAGGGAGGUGACUAUUGAGGCAGUAGAGCACCUUGUUGAGCUGACAAACAACUAGAGUUGACAAGGAGAUCCAGUAUCCAGGAGGAAGUGUCAUAUAUAUAUCCUCUUGAAGGUCCCCUUACAAGAAGACAUUCUUGAUGUCGAAUUGCUGCAGGGCCCAGUCAAAGUGAUGAGCCAAAGUAAGGAAAAUACAGAUUGUGUUCAUCUUGGCUACUAGGGCAGAUGUCUCCUGAUAAUCAAUACCAUAUUAUUGAGUAUAACUAUUGGCAACCAAAUGAGCUUUGUAAUACUCCACGAAGCCAUCAGAUUGAUACUUCAUGGUAUACACUCAUUUGUAGCCAACAACAUGUUGUCUCAUAGGAAGAACAUGUUAGCAUCAGGUUUAAUUUUUCUCCAAAGCCAGGAGCUCCUUCGCCAUAGCUUGAUGCCACUCAAGAGUGUUUGGAGCUUCAUUCAUGGUGCGAGAGAUAGAAACAGUGUCAAGGGGCAUGAGGAAGGCAUGAUAGGAGGGAGAAAGGCGAUGGUAGGAGAGGUAAUGUGCCAAGGGUUCAAGAAUUUGAGGAGGCUGGGGGGGAGUAGGGUGAGAAAUUGGGACAGAAGAGAUGGGUGGACUCAAGUCAGAAGUGGUGGUGGACUCAGGCCAAAGACUGUAGGUAGAUGAGGGGCACAUUGGAUGUAGACUUGGCGACCAAAUUGAUGCAGUGGUUAGGGGUGGACAGAAGGUUCAGAGGCUGGGAGGGUUUCAGAGGGAGCAGAAGGUUUAGAUGUUUUGUUGUAUCAUGUUUUUCUGUAUUUUUUGAUAUUUUUGCGUACCUUGAAAUUGCAAUAUAACUUCAUGUACAACUUCAUUCAGACAUCUUGGAUAAAAUCUUAACCCAUAGGUACCUAUCAAUUUUAUGAGCUAUUGCAUAAUAUUUUGUUUUUGCACUUGAUGAGACUCACAAAAUUUGCAUCCCUUCUCAAAGAGUAUAUCUCCUAUGAUCUUGAGUACCACAAUCCAUUACUUAGAACUAACUGAUUUAGUAUAUCCUAACAUUCUUCCUAUACCUUACCCAACAAGACCUUUUAUACGAUUUAGAAGUAGUCAAUCCCUUUUCUUUGCAAGAAUAUGAAUGAAGUUUAUUUUGUGACCCCAGUGUAGAAUCCUAAUUCACCCUCCUUUUGAUUCCUAUAAUGACUUGGGACCAACAUUAGGUAGAUGAUCAUCAAGCUGAAUGGCUCCUUUCUCAGUGAUAAUAUCUUUUUUUCUUUUCAUAGUAAUCGCCUUUUUGAACUUCAGUUGAAGGAAUAUGUAGAAAACAACGCAGAGGUACUUAUCAUAUGGUUUGCAGCUUUAAAGUUGAUAACCAAAAGUAAUGAUAAGAUGCAUAGUAGCAUUGAGGGCAGAUUUGUUUAAGAGUAGUUUGAAGUAAAGGUUUGGUGGCGCCCUUAUAAAAUUUUAUUCAAGUUUGAGUCAAUCUUCUGUUUGAAGCUUGGUCAGGAUGUUAAUGAAUGAAAUAAGUUAAGUAUUCAUUGGCCGAUGCAUACAGAAAAUAACUUAUGGUGUAUGCAAAAUUUGAGGUAGAACUUGAUUUUUGAUCCCUGACAUUAAAGUAUCAGCACUUGUGUAAAGUGUCAACUGAUGAAAACUAAGUGUGAACAUUUGAGGCAAAAUAGAAACUGGAAAAAAGCAGGGAGAAGCGACCCCUAUACCUUAGGUGUUGACACUUGGAUAUGUGUAUGAUAUAAAGCUCAAAAUUGUCAGCAUGUAUAUAAAGAAGAAAAAUAAGUUUCGAAGGUGAACCCAUCAUGAGGGGGGAUCGUCACACAAUUAUAGCUUGUUGACUAACAGAUUGACUGCUAGCUUUUCCGAGUUGAAUUUCCAAUUUUUACAUCACCAUGCUUUGGCUUGAUUUAGUUUACCUAUCCCUAGUUUAUUACAAUAAUGACCGUAAACUUAGGAAAUAUAUGCUAAAUCUUUAAAAGAAGGGCUCUUGGGUUAUUGUUUACAACACUAUUAUGUUUUUGAAGUUCAUGGGCUUCCUAAUGAUUGUCAACUUUAUGCAACUUUAUGUUCUCUUUUCCUUGGCUUUAUUUUUUUCCUUUCUUUCUAAUGUUUGCAAUACGUUCCUUUUUUGGUUAAAGCACCUUUUUUCUGACCGUGUGUUGCCAUAUAUCAUGUAUUUCAGUUCUGAGCUGAUGAACAAGGGAUACCUUGUUUUCCCAGAAAAUCUCUUUUUGAAGCUUCCACGCCUCACAUCUGUCUUCAUAGAAUCAUGCUAACAGAGAUAAUUAACUCGGAUGUCAUAAUGCUGUUUUUGGGAAGCCACUCGUCAUCUUUCAAUUCUUCUUACUUUGGAUAUACAUCUUCCUAUUUAUGUAUCCUUAUUUACCAUAUAUAUUGCUGAAAUGAUAGUCUGCCAUAACCCAGUGCCAACAGACGACAUGCUAUUAAUAACACUGGAGUUUCUAGAUUAUCAAGGUUCCCAUCACACCAUUUAACGUGAAACUCUGUCCUCAAGAACAGUCAGCGCUUGUUGAUGAAAGAAGAGGGUGAUACAACCUGUGGCAGGCCAUUGGAAAACCUUUAGCCUAAUCGGCCUAGAAGACAGGGCAAAUAGGACCAGCCUUGACCCCUUCGCCCUGAGUGAGUAAGUUGCUAAAUUGUGGGCAGUACACAAUUAGCAGUGGAAAGAAAUAAGAUAAAGUUGUCCCCUUGGAUGGAAACUCUGGCAGUCAAAAACUAAAAAAGAGAGAGGAAGGCAUGAUGGCCCUCUUGAUCUUGAUGCUACAAUGUGUCUCAAACUCCCUCCUUGAUAUGUUUUUGUUACACUUCUUCCUUAAUCCAUCAAGGCAAAUCUUCUGAUUCCAUUUUCAUUGAAAAGGAAAAGAUGAAGACUCUAAAUGAGAGGUAACGAGCGAAAAAAUAGCAUGCCUCUUGCUUAUAUGUUGGGUCGCAUCUAGCUUCUAUUACUAGUUUUAAUUCCUAUACUGUGGCGGCUUAUAACUUGCACCUCAUUCCGUAUCCCACGAUCACCUAGUAUGUCAAAAGCCUAGGAACUUCUUAAAAUUUCUUGAAACACGGACCCAAUCUUUUUAUCAAUAGGGUAAUCCUUUAACAGAUGGUAUACACUUACACUGUCUUACAAUGGGCAUUAUGGGUAAAACCUAAUAAGUAAUUAAAGGAAAAGAAAAAGACAAAUGCCUAGUUAUGAAUAGUAUUGCACAAUUUCAUGCAGGUAUAAAAUUUUUAUUUCUUAAUAAAAUUAAAAAUUUUAAACAUUAAAGGUUAAGCAUGAUAAGUGUAGUGCCAUGAUGAUGCUAAUAAUUUUGAGUCUUCACAAGAGUUGCAUUUUUUAAUUGAUAUCUUUUAUAAUGGCAAUUCCAUGAAUAGAAACUAUUAAAUAAAAUCUGCAUGAGAUUAAAUUUUUAUCACCCCCCCUUAUUUCGGUUUCAAGGAUAUACUUUUGGUGACGGCCUAACCAUUAACGUGGAAUAUAUAAUGUUGUAUAGCAGUCAGAUUCAAAUUAUAAGUGCAGCUUUAUGGAUGAAUAUUUGUUAACUUAAUACUCAAAGUUCACAUCCUUACUUUAGAUUUAUCCACCUUUUCCCAGGUUUCGCAACUGUGCGUCAUGGAUGUUACUGGAAACAGGAUUCCUCUAAAUUCUUAAGAUGGCACUGGUAUCAAAACGGAUCAAUACAUUUAGCUACAAUCGAAUCAUAACAAGCAUAAUGGAAAAUUCGAAACUGAGGGCAGGAAUUGUGGCCGACUCAAAAUUGAAAUUAAAAACGAAGCUGAACUGAAAGCAAUGGAAAAAUAAGUCUAGCAUAUGACUGACAGUAUUUGCAUGGUUACCAGGAAUUAAGAUGACACUGCUUGUAGCGGAAAAAAAUAUAACUCAUUUGAAGUAGUGUUCAUUUGCCUCAGGAAUCUGAUGGUGGUAAUAAUUUACAUUGUUGUAUUGUGGUGUAUUUCAUAUUUGUGUUUGUAUUUAUAAAACCAUUGAUUUUAUAAAGAUUUCCAUGUAGGUUUUGUGUGUGGAUUGUAUUCUUGGUUGCUGAUCCAUUGUAAAGAUUAUUGUAUGUUUUUCUUUGGAUUUUUGUUUUGCAUGAGUUCCCUAGAUGCGAAUUCUUGUAUUAAUGACUCACAAAGAGAUUUAGUGGGUUUGAUGUCCUUGGACAAAAUUUGAGGUAGCAUUUCCUAGUUUCUUUCUGUUGAUUCUGGCUUAUACUUGCCUUUUAUGUUUAUUAACUGUUAUGCUGUGAAUUAUAAAGUUUUAAAUAUUGUAUUUCAACUCAUGUCAUAGUUAAACAACUCCUUGGCAGGUUGUCCAGUUGUGGGUGUGGGCUUUUCCGGCUCUUUAGCUAGUGUAGGUCCAAAACGUGGAGGGCACAGGUAUUGAUUUUCUGUCUGUUUAUUCGUUAGCAUAAUAGAGAAACUCCAGAUCAACUUGCUUGCACGUAAUAGUUCCGUUUGUGCACACUUCUUCACAUUCAGUUUCAAAUAACAUAUUUUACGAACUAAUUUUAAGAAUUCAUCUAGAAACAUCACGAACAUCAUGAACUAUUAUAUGCUAGUUCUACAUUUCUUUUGGUGAUUGAUUACCAAACUCUUUUUUCAAUGAUGAGCUUAUAAAGCUUGUGUAUCGAUGUCAUUAUGUUGUCAUUUUAAUAAGCAGUGAUCUUACUGCCCAUUUGGGGUAGAUAAGUAACUUGCAUCUACGAACUGUUCGUAUUGGAAGUGGAAAAUUGCGAAAACUAAUGUGUACAUGAAGGUGGUUUCAAAACUUUCUAAAGUGCCAAUUGGAGAAAAAUGUUUUUCGAUUUACGGUGGAAAGGCAUUGACUUUACGCCUUGAGUAUGCCUGAUAUGAAUUUUAUAUUUAUUUCCUAGAUGCUUUUCGCUGAUUGUCACUUAACAUUACAAGGUUUAUUUUAUGAAAUAUGCCAACAUUUUUCAUAUGCGGUCAGGAUGAGCGGGAGCUUGUUCCCUGAAUUUGUGUCUAUUUAUCGUUAAGUAGCUCUACUGCAAUCGGCCAAAAGCUGCCAACCUUCUACAUUUUGUGCAUCUUACUUCUAGAAAAAUUUUGGAGACCUGUGUAGCUAAGUGAUUUGUUCUUGUUUGGAAUGUCUACUCUUUGUCAGGGAUGGCAGGGACAGAAAUGGAUUUGUGGACUUUUCCAUACAUCAUAGUAAUAUCUAUCGAAAAAUAGUGAGAUUUUCUAUGGAUAUGUGAUGUUUUAUUGGACUAUAAAGGUCCUUGACGGAUGAAAUGAGGAUUCAUCACAGUCAACUUCUAUCGUUCUAAAUUACUCAAUUUGGUAGAAUGUGCCCUUGUGAUUACUUUAAUGGUGAUGUCCAUUUGAUGCUGUGCUCCCAAUCCUAUUCUUUAUUUUAGGACCUGAAUUCUCUUUUCUGCUUCAUCAUAGAGUAGAUUUCCGAAUUCAUGCUUAUAUCUUUGUUUUCGGAUUAUUUUCUAGUUUUUUCGAUUCAAUCUCGUCUACGUAAUUACAUUACAUGGAAUAUUUAGUGUUUUAGUAUCUGCUGCUUAAAAAAUAGGAUUACAUGAAUUUACUUUCCACUUCAUUGUCAGGACCAGAAAACAUCCGGUCAAACACGACCGUCUACUUUUCUUUUAUCCAUGAAUUCGAGUUAUUACAUUCUGUUUGCAGGUUUUUCUUAUCAACAAGGACAUCCGGUCGUCUGUGGGCAUCAAAUGUUACCUUAUGUAAGGUACUUAAUUCGUCAUCCAAACUGUCUUUCACUUUCUUUUCCUGGAAACCUUGCAAAGUUUCUGAUAUUGAUUAAUUCAUAUAGGGUCUGCGAAGUCGCGAAGAAGAAGACACGAUUUCUAGCAAAUUUUUACUGAAGGUACAAGUUACUCAAACGUACCUAUUAUUUUUUGGUAUUUAAAAAUAUUUAUUUAAAUAAAUUUCCUACCUGCCUAUUUUUUGAUCUUUGCAAGAAUUUGUAAUACCACAAGUGUUCUAAAAUUUACUCAUUUUUUGCAUUAUCACUUUUCUGACUUUUCGUGAUUUUGGAUUUGGAAAAUAAGCUUGUAAGCCAACGGGUGGUUUAUUGUUUAUAUCAUCUAAAGAGGGUAUUUUAGUUUUAUUAUCAAAUUGGUCUGGUUGUGACUUUUACCAUUUAAUUAUUUAGUUCUGAUGGCUCUAAUUUUUACCCAGAAUAGAUAAAGUUCCUGAGCUGGUGCAUACAACUGUAGUUCCUCUUCAAGUUUCUCUUGCUUGUUCAAUGCUUCAUUCACAGCUAUCAACUUCGCUAUUCCUGGAGAGAGAAGUGGGGAUGGUUUGGGUGAUUUUGUAGCUGAAUCCCAACCCAACAUUAUUACGCCGAAAAGUCCGACCUUUAACAAAAAUAAGAAUUGAAGGUAGACUUGAACCAGAAAAUUAAUGUGUCCGAACUCAACCCAUGCUACAGGCAUAUGCAGCAUUUCUUGCACUACAUUCUCAAUCCCUAUAGAAUUCUUUAGAUUUAUCUUAUUAUUACAAUUAGGUAGUCAUAUUUGCCAAACAAAGAUAAAGCAUUCCAAUUUGAGGGAAGAGAUUUUGUACACAGAAUACUGACACUCUAUGCUUCUACUUCCUACUCACUCUUGUCCUUCCAGUCUGAGGUGAUUCUACUGUGUGUUUGUCAAUUUUUCUUCUCUUUGAAGGUCCGUGCCAUGGUUUAAAAGUUAACCACUUUUCAAUCGACAGUUCAACUGAUGGCUUUAGUUAGUGUUGAUUUCUCUGGGAAGCCUCUGGAGGCACGAUAAUGAACACUAUGGAACAUUUUCAUAUUCGUUUACAAAACAUUUCAUGUUCAAAUCAUACAUUGUAAAGUUUUAAGUCAUGCCCAAAGUUGCAUCUUUAACAUGAUAUUUUAGAUAUUCGUUCUCUUUUCUUGUUUUCAAAAAAUUGGAUAUGCUUUUUUUUUCCUUUUGAUUAUUUCAUAGCAUUUCAAAUGGUUUCUCUCCUCUUGUUUAACAUAAUAUUGGUUUGAACUUUCUUCCUCGUGUUCUUAUCAUAAUACUUCUUUUUGUGCCUAUUAUGUCUAAGGCUAUUGCAGAUGCAUGCCAAGUUUGUGGUACUUCUGACAAGGAACUAACUGAAACGGAAGAUUCACAUGAAUUGGAAAAGCUGUUUGACGAGGAUCAAGAGUUACAGCAGCUUAUAAAUGGGGAAAUAUGCAUGAAAGCAUAUUCAUUUGGUAAUUAUUCAAAGAUUCCAAUGAGUUAUGUCUACAUGAGAAUAGUUAAGUUUUCCGUUUUGGAGAUAGAUCUUCUUAUUCAGCCGCAUGAACUUGCAGAUACUUGUACGUACAGUUCAGAUCAAAAGAUUAUACUUUCAGGAUCAUUUAAUCCAUUACAUGAUGGACACCUAAAGCUUUUGGAAGUGGCAUCAAGGUUAACAAUUAAUUUUAUGCUUCCGCAGAUAGAUGCAUGCAAGUUAAUUGGAGAUCCUUAGUAUUUGUCUCGAUCAUUUCAGUUGUAAAGAAAAAAGCUGGAUCUUUUUCAGGAUUUUCUUCAAAGACAAAAUUCAUCUGCCAUAUGGAUGAGACUCUAUCUUGAUGAUGACCAAUUAUUAUUGUGACAUCAAAAAAUUUAGCUACAUAUAGACACCUGUUUAUGAUUCUAUCAUGAAGUCAUCUCUUCUUACCUAAUUAACAAUGUGAGAACAUGCAUGAUUAUGAAAUAAUAAACUUGUUAUAUCUCUUUUAUAUCAGCUUUUUAACAUUCUAACUAUUUUUUAUUUUCUGUAGUAUGCUUUGCAAUAGGGUUCCGUGCUUUGAGAUAUCAGUUGUAAAUGCGGAUAAACCACCAUUAUCAAUAGUUCAGAUCAAAGAGCGAGUGAAUCAAUUUAAGAAAGCUGGUGUGUUCUUUUCUUUCGCUACUUGUUUAGUGCAACAUAUUUAGUUUUAAUUUGAAUGAUUGAUAAUGAUUAAUAUUUUAUAGGAUUUUUUACAUUCUGUGUAUUUUGUUUAGAUUUACGUCUAGUAUUCUCACUUCUAUUUAAAAGACCAGAUCCAAUGUGAGAUACAUUCUUCAUAAGAAAUGUUGGCCCAGGCAUGAUCAUUGGCACUAAAACUAAUAUAAUGAAACGAAAAACAUAAAUCGAUAUGAUAAUUUAAAAAUACUAAAUAUUAAAUAUUAUGGAAAAAUUAAGACUGUGUAACAGAAACCAAUAAAGGUUUAAAAUUCAGGUCAAUGAUUGUUCUCUUAUAACUCAUAACCAUGAAAUGUAAGAGCAGGCGAUCGUCAAAAAAGUAUCGGUAACGCAUGAGCAGACAACCUUGCUUAAAUACCAUGUAGAAACGUCAGCUGUCAGAUUACAAACUUCACCAUUUAUGAAUUAAAUAGUAAAUAAUAGGGAAUAAUUAAUACUGUGUUGCCAUAAACCAUCAAAGUUUAAAAUCCAGGUCAAUGAUUGUUCUUUUAUAACUCAUAACCCCGAAAAUGUAAAAGAAGACAAUUGAUGAAAGUAGUAUCAGUAAAGCGUUGGCAAACUAUCUUGAUUAAUAACAUGUACAAAAGUCAGCUGUCAGGUUACAAACUUCAUUAUUCAUGAACUAUUUCUGUUUUCGCAUAGUACAUUCUUUAAGAUGCUCAAUGAUUGGAUUACUGACUUCCCAUGUUUCGCAUUGAUAAUAUUAUAUAAAUUGCAUGCCAAGUUUUAGAUUACUCAUUUUAUCACAUCUACAUUUCUAUUUUUUUCACAAAUAUGUUCAAGGCAUUGCCUAAAUGAUGCAUUGCCCCAGGCUUCUAGGUUCACCAGUUGAGAACCUGCUUGGGUGCUCGCCAAAGUUGCCUUACCUCUGUUCUCCAACUCAUAUUGUUGUCAUCGUAGCUGCAAAAAACUAUUUGCUCUGUUCCAUGGCACAUGCUGUUUAACUGCAGUUGAAUGGACGCCAUGUAAGCACAAUCUAGUGGUGAUUUAAACCGUUAAGAUGAUAUUUAUUGCAUAUAUUAAUAUUUUAUAAAAAAUUAUUUAUUAAAUGGAGUUAAUUGUUUUAAAAAAUCGUGUUUACUUAUUGUUCUGAUUUAUAUUAGUUACUUUAAUAUUUAGAUAUUCCACGCGUAAAAUGUUGCUUUAUUUUAAGAAAACGGAAUCUAUUCAUAUAGCUUAAAGGAACAAUGACUGUCACUCAUUCAAAUUAUUUAUUUUAGAUUUUUGUAUGGUAUCAAUGCUCUUUGACACCCAAAGAUAUUCUUUUAUAGCCAAAGAGAAAAUACCUAGUUCACUGACUGUUAUUGAUUGUUUCUUCUACAGUUUAACAAUAAAUUAGAGGUUCUUGCCUUCUUGGGUUCAUAAGUUUACUGUCUGGAGAAUUCAACAGUUUGAUUUGUAUAUGUGUAAACUAUGCGAUAAUUAAGUAAUUUUCGUAGUACCAUGGUGAUUCGUUUCUCUACGCAGGGAAGACAGUGAUUCUAACAAAUCAGCCGUAUUUCUACAAAAAGGCUGAGUUGUUUCCUGGUAGUGCAUUUGUUAUUGGUGCAGACACUGCCGCACGGCUUGUUCAUGUAAGAAAUCUGAACUUGCUGUGUGUGUUGUUCAGACAAUACCACUAGAGGCAUGUAUGCUCGUUUUUGUCUAUACUUCAUGGGAUUGAUAAUUAUCAUUUUGCUAUAUAUAUAAUGAUUUUCAACCCUUCAUGUUUUUCUUUCUUUGUUAGACCCAUUAUAUAUAAAAUUGUUUUGCACUAUAUGAUGAGAUGGAUUGCUUUAAAAAUAUACUACUAUGCUCGUGAGUAUGGGUAGAAAUAACAGUACGAUGUUAGCUAUUGUCAUACAUUUACUCUUGUUGUUGAUAUGAAAAUGGUUAAAACCCUUUUUGCACUUGUUGUCUCUAAAUUAUAGCCCAGAUUUCAAAUGGGUACAAAAAAUACCUUUUUAAUGGUGACGUGAACGAGGAAGUGUUCAUGACGUGGCAAUUGGGAAUAACAUGGGACUCAUCACACUUUAUUUCAAGCAUGAUUGGUAUGCUCGGACAGAGUCAUUGAUUUGAGGACUACCGUUCUACAUUCAUAAUUUUAAUGCAGCCAACAUGAUCCGUCUCUCUUUUGAGAAUGGUCGUCUAGUGGUCUUGCUCUUCUUAUUACAUAAGUUAAUGGUACGUUGAUUGCUGUGGAUGAUUCCACGAAACGGGGCAUGUUAAAAAAAUUUUCAAUAGUCAUUUGGGAUAAAAGAUGUGGGCUAUUCAUUCACUUCUUGGGUGAAGCGCAUAGAUCUCCAGUUCUAUUCUUUUUGAAUCACCGCAUUCUUGCAAAAUUUGAUUUAUGUCGCUUGAUCAGAGAACAUCACUGAACUUAAUUCACGUAUGGAAACUAAUCUUUGGUUGAAAACUUAAGAUCACUUUCUAACUUUUGUAACCUUUCUUAUCUUUUAAUUUUACCGGACCUGGUAUUUCCUAUACCAUAAAUAGAACUUUUAAUUCUUUGUCAUUUACACUUUACUGGUAUUCGUAAGAUUGCUGACUACCUGAAAGGCACUCCUAAUCAUGGAUUGCUCUUCCCAAGUGGGUCUCUUCAAUCCUUGAGUCUAUAGGCUGUUGCAGAUUUGUGUUGCUAUCCUAAUCUGAGAUGGUUUUCAUUGAUUGGUGUGGCUGAUAUGACAUUAUCUGAUUUCAUGGAAGUUCAAGAAACAAGAUUGGGUUACCAAGCUGUUAAUUGAAAUUGAAUGUAGAGCCGUGUACGAAACACGCUUUGAGGUCAUCUGAUUGUGUGGUUUACUUCUAAAAUUAGGUUUCCUUCUUAAUUGUGCUGACUUCUUUACAUGCUAACAACACAAGUGCUAUUCAGAUUGCUGAAAAUACUUGUUUCACAAGUGCACAAAGCACGUUGAAAUCAAUUAGUAUUACAUUUCGUGGCACUUUGAAAGACUCAUCUCUACUAUAUUUACCUUAUAAGGAGCAGAUUGUGUCUCUCUUCACAGAGGCUUCGAUAUCUGAUCUGCAUCAACCUCUUUCCACCGAAACAGAUGUCUUCUCGAAGCCUUUGAUAUUUGAUCAGCAUCAAUCACUCUCCUCCGAAUUCCUUCUAAAAGAGUCAGCAUCAGUUUUAGGGAGAGUUGGAAUGCGCUCCAUGUAAUAUGGGAUAGAAGGAGAUUUAAUGCUGUUAAUAAUGAGCAACUGGUUGGUUUCUGUUUUUAACCUUUACCCUAUUUAGGGAGAGUUGUGUCCACCUGUAUUCUAUUAUUGCUUGCUUCUGUAAAAUAUUAGUUCACUCUUUUGUUUAUACAAAGUCCAUAAAGAGGCUCUGAGAUCUCAUAUUGGGGCAGGACGCUAUGAUCCAUUGAUCUUAUCAUGUUUCUCUUUGUCCACUGUCAUCUUCUCACCAUUGGCACCGACUCUUUCCUCACAUUGCUAGCUGUAGUCCUGUUCAGAGCUAAGAUGGUAAUUACAAGGUCACCACAUCAGCUCAUCUUCCAUUAAGUUUGUACCUGCUUUUGAAUGUGGCAUAUUAUCCUGUUUACAUAAUAUAGAGCUGUUCUGGCUCUAUUUAGUCUCUUCAGUUAUUGAGUGAAUGCUGAGAGAAGCUGGAGCUGAGUGUCUGCUUUUCUAUUUACCGUGCAAGUCCCGUCACCGAAAUUGGGUUGACCAGAAUAUCGUUGCCUCUUUUCCUCUUCUGGUGGACUCAUCCCUCCUGUCUCAACGUUCUUCUUUUUCCAUUCAUUACAUGUGCCCUUGUGUGGUGCUGUGGGUGAGCAGAAAGCCUGACCAUAACCCAAUCCUGAGAUUGGGCUCUGCAAUCUGGCUUUCUGAUGCCAUGGGCAUUGUUUCUAUCUAUCUUUGGUCCCAAUACCACACCUUGGUUGAGAGGAGACUCAAUUUGUAGCUAGAAUACAUAUUCUCGGAGAAAUUAGACCAUUCCCUGAUGGUAGAGGUCAUGGAUGAUGCCUUGGUCAGCAGAGGAGAAGACAACAGAAAACAGAGACAGGCAUAGGUGGACAUCAAUCCACCGUGUAGGGAUAUUUUUGCCUCCCAAAUCCUGCCAUGCCCUCUUUAAUGUAACCAGUCAGGCACCUAGCUUAAUCACUACUAGGUUCUAUUUUCAGUUUUUUCUGGUUAUUUUAACUGCUCGAUUUAUUCUUUUUUUGCAUCAGUUAUGAAUGUGGAUACUACGUAAUUCGCUGCUUAUUCCUCUAACUAGAUGAGGUUGAGGGUUGUAGCAUGAAAUAAUUUUCUGUAGAUCUAUCAGUCCUUAUGUAAAUUUCUGUCCCUAUUCUCAUUCUUUGUGGAAAGCUCUCUCUUUUAGAUUCUGGGGUGAAAUCUUUUAUGAACUCAUACCUGUCUUUUUCAGCCAAAAUAUUAUGGAGAAAGCUAUCACCAGAUGAUUGAAAUCCUGAAUGGCUGCAAAAGAUUAUCUUGUACAUUCCUCGUUGGUGGUCGGAAAAUUGAUGGCGAUUUUAAGGUGUGUCAUAAUGAAGUGACCUCAAAUAUUGUCAUUUGACAUCACAGAAAAGACCUUAACAAAAUGUUUAUUUAUCAGGUUCUUGACGAUUUAACUAUUCCAGACGAACUGGUGGACAUGUUCAUCUCGAUUCCCGAGGACAGGUUCCGAUUGGAUAUAUCAUCGACAGAGAUAAGAAAAAACCAUGGAAUUUGAGUCCAUUCCUACUUCUAGCUUUGGAAUGUGCCCUUUUGAUGCGUUAUUGUAUGCAUCAUUUUAUCCUUGUUUCUCCAAUAUUUCUGCUUUCAUCUGUUGAAUGGAGUAUCCCCCGCUAGGCCUUGGUACACUUUCAUUAGCUUCACUUGAAAAUCACUAGUUGUCUUAUGGGAAGUUACACCUGUGUGACCUAAGUGCGUCACCACCUGCAGCCAUUGAACGAAGUUUAGUACACCAUAUUUUGCAUUACUUACCUUACUGUGCGAUCUUAUCUUGUGAAAAAUUCCAUCUAUUUGACAUGUACAUAUAUCAUACCAGUAAUAUUGAAAUCUUAUGAGGAAAAUAGUUAACUGUGUUCUGUAAAUAGGGAUCACCUACAGGUUUUCAUUUAUUCUUCCCAGCAAGUUAAAAUACCAUAACAUAUUGUACUGAGGAUUCCAUCUUUGAUUGACUACAUCACAGGUACUGUGUUUAUACGUCCAAAUAGUAGAUUCAUCAAUAUAUAAGUUUGUCCUAUUUUCCUAUUUGGUUUAUUCUUGAUUCCUAACUUGGCAGUUUAACGCAAAUAUGGAAUCCUAGUUAAUUUCACCACACUUUCUCUCUUUUAGUAGUGUGGUAUGGCACUUCACUAUAAGCCUACUUACAAUAUCUUUUUUGCACCUUUCAAUCUUCACUGGGUUAAUUAGUCUCUACGAAGAAGUUUUCUGGCACCAUUAAUUUCCUGUAAUCUGCUCAAUUUUUGUUUGAGUAGAGUUUACAUGUUAUAAUAGCCUUCUUUAGUUCAUACUCUAGAACUCUUUGUCGUAUUGUGGGCAAUCUUCAUUAUCCUCAAGUGUGAUAAUGAAUGGGCUAUUACAUCUAGUGCCCAAUAACUCAAGUUCAUCCAUCUUUCUCAUUGCCUACCAGUGUACAACCAUGCUCUCGUGAAUCUUACGGUACUUGGAACUAGGGAAUCUUCAGAAACAUCCUACUGUUGUUGUGUGCCUUCUCAAGAAGACUCUCUUUAGAGCUGCACGGUAAGCUAUCAGUUAAAUAAUAUAGUGGGAACUUAUUCCAUGCUUCUUCUUUAUGGUUGCCUCAUCCUCAAUGGUGCCUUCUUGUAGCUUCAUCCUCCGAUAUGGUCUCCUUGCAAUGGACCACACUAUAUCUAUGAUUUGGGUUUUCAAUUGGUCCAUCAUGAAAUUUUAUCAUGGAAAGGACUUUGAAAUGUAAAUCUUGUUAAUGAGCCAUGCUAAUAUGUGAGAAAGUAAAGCUACACCCAGUGAAAAACCAAUACUAAUACCAGAUGAAGACUUAAAAGUUGUUCAAUCACCGUAAAAUUACAUUGAGAAAAUUCUAUUAUGUUUCAGCCCAAUAUAAGCAAUGUGAGGCAAACUGAUUAGUACCUCAAAAUUUGAGGCUCGUGGCCUGAAGGGAUAAAAAUAUUGACUACAAACAUCUGAAGGCCCAACAUGACUUGAAGCCUAAUAUCCAAGCCAAUGGCCCAAAAUUAUGUAAAUAUUUUUGCCUAAAACUUGCAACCUAGGUGGCUUGAAAGAGUAAAAAAGUGGACUACAAGCAUCUAAAGACUCAAAAUGACUUUCAGUCCAAUAUCUAAAUAGUUAGGUCCGAAAUGUGUAAGAAAUUAUAGAAUUGUAAUUGUUCUAUUUUUCAGUAGCUUUGAUAUGAAGGUUUAAAAUUCAUCUAAUUUAUUGUGAUUGUUAUCAAGUCAAGAGGUGAUAAAUAGUAAUAUUGUCUUUCUCUUUGAGAUAUUUCUAUUUUCUUGUGCAAUCAAGCAAUCCAUAUUUAAAUAAGAAACAUUAGGUUGAUUCUUAUGGAUUCAAGAAUUGUGAAAAAUAAAUCCUCAUUGAUUGAGAAAUUUGGUACCUCAAGGAUUCAAGGCCUGAUUUCUUUACUUCUUCAACUUUCUCUAUGCCAAUUAGUUGUCUUUUAGAGAUGAUAAUUUGAAUUUCAAUAAAUAUAUUUUGAAAUUUAUUCAAAUGAAUUGAAAUUUAUCUAAUCUUUAAAUAGAGUUAAAACAUAGCUUAGAUAUCAAGUUCAAUCUUGCAUUUAAGGGGGAGGUAUUUAAAUUUUUAAUUGGAUAAAAGGUUUUAUUUUUUUCAUAUUUCUUGUAGCCCUAACUUAUUUUUAAAGUUGACAUGAGUGUAAAUUUUAUUUGUGUAUCCUUUAAAUUUUAUUUAUAUUUUAGUUUUUGGUAAUAAGGCAUUGACAUUUUGAACUGAAUUUGUUCAUGAUGUGUGAAAGGUUGAUUCUUUAUAUUCUAGGUUUUCUUUGGAAACUAAGUUGUUAGCCAUUCUUUUUAGUCAAUCACUAAUAUUAUAUAUAUGAAGUUUGUCAACAUUAAGAGAAAGUAAUGUAGUUAAGAGUUUUUAUAAAAUGUAUGGAUCAUUUCAAGCAAACAUCAAUACAAAUAAAGUAAGCAUGUCUUCAUAAAAUUUCAGGGCAGUAUUAAACAUUUUUUAUUGUAGAAAAUUAUCUUAAACCCUAGAGAGAUGAAUCAGAACAUUCUAAUAAAACCAUCCAUAGUAUGUUCAUGUGUACUUGUUUUUCAAAUUUUUUUACUUAUAAUUAGGCAUCUUGAAGUUUGGUAUGUACCUGUAGCUUUUUACAUCAUAUCUAAAAGUUGGUAGAGAGGAGAAUGAAUUUCAAAAAUAGCAAAGAACAAGAAAAUUUUCUACUAUGUUGUGGAGAAAAUCAAGAGAAUCCUAAUUAUAGAUAAAAUAUUGUGAAAAAAAUCAAAAUGAAAUCAAGAAAAAUAACAAUGUCUAUGAGAGAAGUUACAAAUGAUGAUGGGAAAUCUAUUACAUAAUUCUUCUCUCUUCUCCAAUAAGAUUCUUAACAUUGAAAAAGGAUCUUAGAGUGUGCCAGGAAGGCUUCUUAACGUCUUCUUUUUUCUUCCCAUCGGAGUUUUUUCACAAAGACUCGCCAUAGUAAGGGGGAAGGGUGGAACAAGCAAAGCACACUUGUAGAGCGCAGUACAGCGGAGAUGUCCAAUACUAUUUGGUAGCCUUUUCUAUUAUUUAAUUUAGUAUAAUGUCUACUAUUUCUUCUCUUCCUUUGUCAACCACUUAUUUACUAAGGGGUUGUGCCAAGUGUUAAUCCUAUCUAAAUAGCACAUCAUGGG